This 51437-nucleotide long non-coding RNA is filed under the name Medicago truncatula (barrel medic). RNAcentral describes it as "long non-coding RNA (MTRU_LNC000603)". Lineage: Eukaryota; Viridiplantae; Streptophyta; Magnoliopsida; Fabales; Fabaceae. The record is from RNAcentral.
UACCACUUGAUGUCCCACAUCAUUUGCAUGGCCGCACCAGAUAUCCUCCAAGCAGUGUUUUCGUUGUUUGCUACUGUAAAUGCUGCUAAGUGUAAAAUGGUGUUUUCAUUGAUAUCAACUUGUUGAUUUAUGCUCUGAAAGGUUUCCAUAGAAAGCCUCUUCCACAACCCUUCAACAACUUGUGGCUGUCUAUAUUUCACUGCUAUAAGUAAUGCAUUUUCGUUGUCAGAGUUAGUUUCAUGGAUCACACUUUUUAGAUUAGAUUCAAGUGCAAGCAUGAUUUCGGUUAUGCCAUGUUUUGCUGCACGCAAAUAUGCUGUAUCAUUUGUGUCACUUUUCUUUGCUUCUAAUUCCUUCAUUGCUACAAGUAAUAAGCCUUUCUUGUCAGAUGCCUUUACUUUUGAAUUAAGCUCAUCCAUAAUUUCAGUGACACCACUUCUUGCUACUGCCAAAUAUAUCGUAUCUUUUUCAACAUUUUUUGCUGAAUCUUCCAAUUUUUGAUUUUCUUCUCUCUCUUGUUUUGAUUUACUUUCUGAAUCCUCUGCAAUACACAACUAUGAUUGUUAUACUCCCUCUGUUCUAUAAUAAAUUAUUUGUUUGAAAAUGUGUAUUAUUGACCUAACAUACUUUGACUAUAUUUUAUACUAAUAUAUAAAGAUAAAUAAUAUCAUAUAAGAUGCCGUUGGAUUCGUCUUGAUUAAUAUAUUUAAAAUAUCAAAUUUUCAUAAUUAUUUUUUAUAUAUUUGUAAAGUUAUGCAAAAUUAUGGGAUGGAGGGAGUACUACUUUUUUUUAGCGAAACAAAUUAUAUUACUUCACACAAAUUAAAGAUAAAUUAUAAAUAGAGAAAGAUAUAUAUAUCUUUUUUGAUAAUAACUUUUUUUUUUAUUCUUAACUAGUGCGUCCGGGACACCGGUUAGCAUUGAAAAAAAAUUAGCAAAUUAAAUAUACUAAUCGGUCAUGUGAAAUUGCUAAUUAACAAGUGUCAUAGUUCCUCUAAAAAUAGAAGUUUUUUUAUAUUGGAAAUAAGAACUUUUAAACUUUAAUAAAGUUGAAUACAAUUGAAGAGAAUAUUACUACGUUUAUUUAUUUAAUGUGUGUAUUUUAGAAUCGUUAGUAAAAUUAAUUUACUCUUUCCGUUUAUUUUUUUUUAAGGAUAUUCUUUCUAGGGAUGACAAAAAGGGUCAAUUCGCUCAACCUAUUCCCGUCCCAUGAAUAAUCCAUCUAAAUACGGCGCAGAGUAGGGUGGGUCAACUGGAGAUAUAGGUUAGAAAAUCUUACUCCUUCCCGUUUUAUGGCGGGCCAUCAAAUUGGCAGGUUGACCCGUCAGUGUUUCUAAAAAAAUAUAUAUUUUAAUUAAAAACUUCACAUUAAUAUGUAAAAAUAUAUAAAUUUAAAGAAAAUUUAAAGAAGUAUAAAUAUAUAACUAAUGAAUCCACUAAAAAUAUGAAAUAAUCAUUCAAACAUAUAAUUACAACAUCUAAAAAUAUAGAGUAAAUCAAUAAAAAAAAUCAAAAUAAAAAGUUCAUGAGUUAUUAAUUGACUAAGUGUUAAAAAUAUGAGGUUAAAAUCAUGAACCAAAAGUGAUAAAAUUAAUUAAAUUAUUCCCCCUACUAUACAGAGGAGAAAAUUAGAAAAUUGAUUGUGACUUAUAAAUAAAAAAACGUGUAAAAGUGAGUUUGUAUUUAAUAUAUCAAUCCAACAGGUCAAUCCGCCUUGCCUCGUGACUGCCCUAGGUUUUAGCGGGUUAUGCGGAGCGGGUACCCUACCAGCGAUGGGUCCAAAAUUUCAACCCACCCCACUAAAAAAAUAUAAGUAAAUACGUCCAACCAAUUUUUUCAUUUGAGAUAAUAAUUAAUAAUAUAUAGUUGUUUGACUAUCUAUACUAUUUACGCAAUCUAUUUUGACCAUAUUAUUUUACUAAUAUAUAAGGACAAUUAUUAGUACAUCUUUUUUUAAAGAUGAAGGAUACAGUUAUUAGUACAUAAAAUGUUUGAUUUGUCUUAAUGAAUAUUUUCAAGAUAUUAAUAUUUUUAGUAAUAGAUAAUUAAAGAUAUUAAUGAUCAUAGUUAUGUAUUGAUAUGUGUGAAGUGGUAACAUGCAAUUAAGAACCGACAUAGUUAUUAAGUCAUUUUUUGAUCGAAAAUAGAUUUUUUGUUCUUACUAUCUUUCUGUUGAUCAAGCCAGAAAUUUUCAACACUAUCAUUUUUCUCUUUUAUUUCUUCAUCAUGUGCUCCGUAAUCAAAGGGAUUUACCCCACCACACAUGUAUGAUUCAUAAGGAUCUUUCAUAAAUGCUUCCAAGAGCUGGCUACCGCAUAUGUGGUUCUUCUUAACCCUCUUUAUUGCCCCUAAGUUUGCAAAAGUAAUUAAAUUUAGCAAAAUUAAUUAAGUGCGUGCACAAAGAAAAAUAACAAUGGUAAAAAAAUAAUGUCAUCCCAUGAGCAUAACUCAAUUGACAAGAACAUUGCAGUAUAUAGGAGCUGAGGUUUGAACUUGAAAUUUCUCACUUAUUGACUUUAAAUGCUAAAUUUUAAACCAAUUGAUUGCACGACGACGACAACAACAACAAGUAGAAUAAUGUUGUAUCAUUAAUUAGCUUAUUUUGCACCAUUAAAUUAAUAGAUCACAUCAUAUAUAUCACUUAAUCUAUUGAGAAUUAUUGAUUGAAUUGUAUAUGAUGAUCUCCAUUGAGUAACACAAUGGUAGGCCACAAAUUAAAUCAUGUAAAAUUAAAGGUUGAGUUGUUCAAUAUACAUACCCAACAAUGACUGAGUAGACCAUCUUUUUCUUGGUGAUGAAAACAGGAUAUGCCAUAUGGUGAAUACAGACAUUUGAACCCAGGAACAUAAAAUUUUAGCAGUAAAAUCUAGUCGAGCAAGAGUAUGUUGUACUUUGCCUGCUUUUUCUAAUUCAUCAACAUUGUAUAAUGGUAUUCUUUGAUCACCUUUCUCUGCAGUAUAUAUUAAUAGGUUAGUAAUAUAGUCAACCACAUCAAAAUAUCAUCACUAAAAUUAUCAUAUGCGAAAUUGUUUAAAAAUAAGGAGACAAAUAAAUAUUAAUUAAAAUGAUGAUGAUGAUUAUAAUAAUAAUAAUAAUAAUAAUAAUAAUAAUAAUAAUAAUUAUUAUUAUUAUUAUUAUUAUUAUUAUUAUUAUUAUUAUUAUUAUUGAUAGGUCUUUAAUAAUUUACAACUUAAUCCAUAUUCAGGUUAUGAGAUUAGUCAACUCUUACCACUAAAUUGACUCCUUAUAGAUAUUAAUAAUCAAUAUUUCAAAAAAUAUAUUUACUAAUAAUAUUCGAUUUUUACUUACUUUAUAAGAAAAUUAUUUUCUCACGGAUAUCAAAACAAAAUAAAAAGAAUUAAGGACAAACUUCGCACAAAUUUCAAACGGAAUAUUGAUUUUAGAGAUAUUUCAAACGAACCAUCUCUUAUAACACACGUGCUGUAAAUUGAAUAAUUUUAUCUCAAAUUUAUCACAAGUUCGUUUGAAAGUUAAAUGUAAAUUUUGACAAAACUCAUUCAUUAGAAUGGAGAAAAAAUGGUAUCAAUAUUGACAACUUACAAAAUCAUAUGCAUUCUCAAAGUCUACCUUCAAACUAAAGCACUUUUCGCUUUGUUUGUUUUGGAGGUAGAGCUUGUGGAGGAGUGUAUAGAUUUAUUAUCCAAUAUCACUAUGCACGAUGAUGCGAAUGAUAUUUGGAUUUGAGAAUUUAAUAUUGAAGAUUUGUUCUCCGUAAAAGAAGAUUAUGCGUUGGUAUCAAAUUUUGAAAUUGAAUCAGAUUCUCCUUUAUUUAGAGUUAAUUGGACUAAUUUGAUUUCAUUGAAGAUUUUGUUGUAUACAUUGAGAUUACUAAAUAAUCGCCUCACAACUCAAAUUAAUUUAAUCCACCGAGGGGUACAAAAUCUAACAUCUCAUAUGUGUGUGGAAUGAUGUAAUUUAAACAAAACAUCCAAAAAUUUGUUUUUUCGUUAUCCUAUUAUGGGCUAACUAUGGUAGGAUGCUCUAUUUGGUUAGGCAUCAGCUUGUAUGUUGAUAGACUAUACCUCUUGUAAUGUUGUCAAAUGUAUAGGUUUGGUAUCUUAUGGUUAACAAUUACAUGAAUGUGGUCAAUUUAGAAGCAGCGUAACCAUGUGGUUUUCGAUUAUAAGGAACAUUUAUCAUGUUUACCCUUUGACAUGGUUGCACUAUUGGUAUUGUCAUGGAUUAAGUGUAAAGUUGAUGGCUUUUCUUAUGAUUAUAUUUAUGUAGCAUUAAACCACUCAAAUGUUUAUGAGUAAUUCUUUUUGUUACUUUAUUACAACAUUCGUUUCUAAUUAUAGGGCCCUCUUGAAAAAAUAACAAAAAUUAAGAAAAUUAAAAGUGUUAAUAAAUUUGUUUGUAAUUGUUAUUGUUUUUACAAUUUUAUCCUUUAAGAGAUAUGAUUAGGGUACUAGGAAAUAUCAAAGGGAUUCUAUAAAGAGACAAUUUCUUUCUUAAAAGGGUUUUAUAUAUGGGGACAGAUGUAGUAUCAAUUUUCAUUUUGGAUUAAUGCUAUUCUUACCUUGGUGCCUUUUCUGUAAUAUUUGAUUACCGUAUCUUUUUAAUCUUAAUUUUUCUUUGACUAUUGUAUCUUUUUCAAUCGUUGACCUUUUAGAAAAAACCAAUUUAUUUACGAAAAAAAUACGAGAACUAUUAAUAUAGUUCACAAAUUACUAAACAUUACAUAAUGACCAUGGCUAGAGGUAUCAUAAUAGUCAAUUCAUUGAAAACAUACCUUGGUCUGCAACGUCUUCAACAUCAUCGUAUAAUUUAAUUCUAGUUCUUGGAUCUGUGACUUUGACAGAAACACCUUUGACAACAAAAUUUUAUAAAAAACAUUUAGACCUCCUUUAUUUUGAUGACUUUUGGCAUAAAAGUAAAACAAUGCAAGUAAAUUUCCUUUAGACUUCCAAAAUACAUGAAUUUAAAGAUUUAUCUUUUAAUUAUUCCUCUUUAUUAACUUUUCUUUUGAACAACAAACAACUCAUAUUAUGUAGUAGUAACAAUUCAACAAACAAAAUACAUGUGGCUUUUCUAAAAGUAAACUGUAUGAGGCUAUUACAAAGUAAGUGGAGUGAAACACGACAGUUCUAAUACUUUACACCAUCUUUAUUCUUUAAUCCUAGAUCUGAAUUAUAAGCACUUGUAUUACAUGUAUUUCCUGAGUCUUGUUAUUUUGGAUAGGAAUUUGGUAUUGAAAUAGUUGUGGUUAUUAGCAUACUUAUUUAUUAAUUUGCUACUUUAUCCGUUCUUGUGAUUGGACUAGUUAUUAAUACAUGUAGCUAGGUUGUGGCAAUACAAGAAGGUUUAUGGAAAUUAAAAUGAGAAAAAAUAUUAACCUAUAUAUAAAUAUAAAUAUAUAAUAAUAACAAUAACAACGAUAACAAUAACAACGAUGAUGAUAAUAAUAAUAAUAAUAAUAAUAAUAAUAAUAAUAAUAAUAAUAAUAAUAAUAAUAAACCACCGUUUUAGUUUUACUAGUCAGAUAAUAUAUAAUUAUUUAAGAGAAUAAAGGUACUUCAAUUGAUCUUUUACAAAAUAACAUAGUUAGAAGAAAUUAAAAAGUCUUUUUUUUUUACUCAAACAAAUUAAAAAGUCUAAGCAAAAAUACAUCAUGUAAAACCAUAUGUGAAGCUCAUACAUACCUAAAUAGAGGAAACAAGAAAUCAACACAUUACUAUUAAUGAAGUCAGAGUCAUUCUAACUUGUGUCAUUUGAACAGAAGUUAACUAGGUAAAAUGAAAAUUAAAAAAAAAGAUAUGUAUUAAGAAUAGAAUUUUUUAGACUUUCGAGAUAUUGAAUAUACAAUUUUUAUAUUUAGUUUUCAACCUUAUAUCUUAAUGUCACAUGUUAACAUUUUCAAUAAAAGAAAGGUCAAAUGCAUCUAAAGGUCCUUUAAAUUUUUUGUUUUUUUCAAAGUGGUCCUUUAAGUUUCAAAAGUCUCAAACAAGUUCUUUUAGUUUUUGAAUCGUUUCAAACAAGUCCUAUUAUAGAUAGCAUACUUGGUAAUUGCUUCCUUGAACUCAUCUUUGGUACCAAAUCUGGCUCCUAACACCCACUUAAAAUUAGUCAUCUUUUUAGGCAUGGAAAAUGGUGGAUAAUGCUCUUUGUUGCUAUCAUUUGAAUCAUCACCACCAUCCUCUAAAAGGACUUGUUUGAAACGAUUCAAAAACUAAAAGGACUUGUUUGGGACUUUUGAAACUCAAAGGACUUGUCUGGAACUUUUGAAACUUAAAGGACCACUUUCGGAAAAACGAAAAAACUUAAAGGACCUUUAGAUGCAUUUAGGCAUGGCAAUGGGGCUGGGUGGGGAUGAGUUUUACCUUCCCCGUCCCCAUACCAGAUUCUAAUAUACGUACCAGUUACCCUACCCAUACCCAACGGGAAAUUCAAUCCCAUCCCCGUCCCCGACGGGUUCGGGUAUCCCCACCCCAUCCCCAUCCCGUAUCGAAUAAUUUUUUUUAAUAAAAAAUAGAAGUUUUUUUGCAUCCCCAAGAGCAACGUUGUAAUACAUUAUCCAACAAUAUGCCCACUUUAACAUUUGUUAGAUGGAAUGAUUUAGUUGAUCCUUUAAAUAUCAAUGGUAGUUUUUAUUAACAUGACAAUUAUCAAGCAAAAUAACAUGACAUAUCAACAUAAAAUAAUUUUUUACAUUUGGGACGGGUAUGAGUAGGGUUCGGGGUGGGUACCUAUAUACCCAUUACCCGUGUUUUGAAAUCGGGGAAAACCCAUACCCAUAUCCAAACCCAGUCAAAACGGAGAAAAUCCGUCAAAUUGGAUUUGGUUCCAGCAGGUAACCGCUGGUAUGGAUUUUGUUGCCAUGCCUAGAUGCAUUUGACCUAGCUAAAAGAAACAUCAUCAACCUUUAACCUUUGCUUAGAAUCAUUUUUAAGAUAACGGUAUAAUGUAAUACCAUAAAGAAUAACUUUGGCACCAACCUUAAAAAGAUAACGCACAUUCCAUGAUUCAUAGAUGAACCAAAAAAUCCAUGAGAACAAAUUUCUCGAUGAUUCUUAGAUUAACCAAAAAUUACAUUCCUCCCUUGACCCACGAAUAAUAUAAGUAAUAAAAGUCAGGGAGUCAAAUACUAAGGCUCCACUCUAUACAUUUAAGGAAUCACUUAAAUAAUAAGUCUUCAAUUGAAAUUUAUGCCUCCCCGUACUAUAAAUAACCUUUCAUCAAACAACUCAUUACCAUACUAGUGACAUUUUGUGUAAGGGGGGGAUAAAAUCUAGAAAAUACCCACCUAUAAAAUACCGGAAUCAUAUCCAAAUUUUUUUUUAACAUAAAGUCGUAUCUAAUUUAAUGUGAAAAUCUUAACACACAUCUAAGAUUAGACAUCUAUAGUGUGACUUUAGUGGUUCAAUAGUGAAAUUGGAUGGAAGUGAUUCAACAAAUCUUGAAUAGACUCUAAUAAAUCUUAGAAUUUGAGUUAGGGGGUUAACCUUUUCUUAAAAAAAAAAAUACUCAAAUAAGCUUUUAAUGUGAGAACUAUAUCCACUUACAAACCUACGUUCAACUCUCAUCUCGUCUAAUAUGGAAUUCUUAGCACUUAUAAAUAUAAUUUUUAACUUAACUAACAUAUCUAAUUUGUGAUGUCCUUAACCACCUUCGUUCCACAUCCAACAUCAACUAAUAGGUAGACACAUUUCUCAAUUUGCACAAAAGAAACAAGAAAAUGCUUGGAUGGUCACAAAAUUUUGGGCAUACACAUCAAAUACAUAUAUCAUUUAAUUAGUUGAAAAAUACACAUUAUUUAAUUCUUUUUUCUUUCUAUAUUUUUUCAAUGGUAUGUUUUUCCAAAAGACCUUGAUUCUUAAAAGUCAAUAACACUAUUUUGAUUAAGAAAAUCAUUGGUUAUACAGAUAAAUGAAUUUCUCACAUACAACCCUACAAAAUUAUUUUAACAAAAUCAACUCUGAUCAACAUUGACAUGAACUUAAACCACAUUAAAACGACCUUCAUAACCAACAAAUUCUCAGCCCUAACUACUACAAUAAGCAAGGUGCAACCGAUAUAAUGUAUUUCCAUUAAAAAAACACAAAAAUCAGUGAGAGAAAUUUAGUGAGGCAAAACAUGAAAUCCUUCUCUAAUUCCAUCACUAAAUUUUGUGACCAAAGAAUUUAUGAGAAAUUUUAUUUUUUUAUAUAUGUCGCUAAUUUCCCUCUCUAAUUUUACUUUUUCUAGUAGUGUUGAGAGACACUAGAUACAAACUUGUGUCACCAAAUCCCCUUAAUCUUAGUUAGCUAUAACAUCUCGAAUUAAUCCAUCACUUUUUGAUAUCCACAAUGGAAAGAACCAAGUAAGGUGAUUUCAUCCAUGCUUAUUCUAAUCUUCACACCAAAAAUUAAAAUUUAAGAACCGCAAAUCCCAAUCUACUUCGUAUCUAAUGAAAAAAUAUAAUUUUAAUUGUCUCUCAACUAUAUUUGUUAUUUUUUUUUUGAAAGAUCUCAACUAUAUUGGUUUUUAUACCAUAUAUAUGCAUAAAAAAUACUAUAUAUAUGUGUUUGUGUCACUUACAGCAGUUGUAAAGAAUUUUCCUCCACCAUGAUAGCUGAUUUUUACUACUCUCAAAAGCUGAUGUCCUAGUAGCAAGAAUUUCAAAAGGAGAGACUCCAUCUUUGUCCUUCGUAGAGCGAAAAAUUGGGUACAAAUACAUUAUUAUAUUUGCCAUACCUGUUGCAAAUGAAACGUUGAUUAUUAACGAGAUUAUUAUAUUGGUAAAUAUUUUUUAUCAAGUUUAGAUUAAAUUUUACCAUAGGAGAAUUCUUAAUUAAAAUAAGUUUAUAAUUUUCACUUUUGAUUAUUUUAAUAUUGACUAAAAAUUAAUAUUAUUAUAUUUUAAACUGCUUUAUGUUUUUGAUUCAGUUCUUUCGAAUAAUAAAAAGAAAAGUAAGAAGAAAAUAAGAGAUGAGAAAGAACUAACCGAACAUUUCUCUAUGAAUUGCAACGUGAAGGAUGUUAUCACGAUCUUUAUUGAUAGCAAUAUUGAGAUCAUUUGUGAAAAACUGAUGUAGAUAAAUAAAGGUCUUUUUAUGGCGUGCAAGCACAGCACAAAAAAGUGGUGUUUCUCCCUUUGCAUUGUUUACUUGAAUCAAAUGCUUCCUUUCACCAUUUUUUCCAAUGAUACAUUCACACAUACUUUUGAAUCCUCUAUAUGCUGCAAGAUGAAGAGGAGUAUCACCUCUUUCAGUCUUUAUUUCAAAACCACUUUGAUCAUCAUGCUUUACUAUUGCAUCUACAAGACGUUUUACAAUGUCUUCGUUGGCAUUACUCACUGCUACAUGUAAUGCUGUUCCUCUUCCCUUUAUUCUUCUCCUGUGAAAAAAUACAUGUUCUUCGUAUUUUUUUAUAACUUCUUCCCAUUUGUCUUCCAUUACAAACUCGCGGAACCCGGCAGCUACAUAUUUGUUGUCACAAAAUAAAAUAGUAAGACAUACAAUAAUUAAUGUCACAUUAAAAAAUUGGAGGAAAAAAUGUCAGAAAUAUUGAACUUUCAACUUAAAGAGCCUGAUAAAUAUAAGGAGAGUUUGGACGUACCCUCUUGAUAAUCAUAAUCGUCUUCAUCUUGAGGCUGAAUCAUAGAAUUAGGAUUCAUUUCGGAAUCAUCUUGAGGCUGAAUCAUAGAAUUAGGAUUCAUUUCGGAAGGUUGAAACUUAAAAAUGAAAAUAAGAAGAAUAAGGAUCAAUGAGAGAUGGGUAGUGGUGCUGUAAGGAACUGAGCAUAUCAAGUGCAAACCUAAUUCCUUUAUAUAAAGAAUGAGAAGCUAUGAAUCCGAUACUUCCUGUAAAGAAAAUGGAUACCCUGAUCCAAUUAUGAGUAUUUUAUAUAUAUUUUUUGUUGGAACACUAGUGUAUAAUGAAAAAAACUUGGAGUAUACUAGUGAGUUUGUGGAGCCUUUGGCAUGUAAACAUCAGGAUGGAGAAACUAGUGUAAAGUGUGAAUUGAAAAUUUUAUGUCCCACAUCGGGUAGAUCACACACUCUAGUAGAAAUCCUCCUUAUAAAUUGAGAGCUCGGGAAUAGUAUUCUUCACUCCAAAACUGAGAAUCGAAUACUCUUCUCUGGUUUUCUCCCCUUCUCAUCUCCCGCGAUUUGUGUUGACGAAUCGUUCUUUUCCUCCUCCUCUUUCUGUGGGCUUCGGAAAAUUGUGGGCUUCGGAAGAGUGGUCUAAGAACCAUAUUGUGGGAUUCGGAAGAGUGGUCUAAGAACCAUAUUGUGGGUUUCGGAAGAGUGGUCUAAGUACCAUAUCGAGGUGUCAUUCUCGAGCGAUUUCUGGCAGUGCAGCCUUUAAUCGUACAGUAAGAAUCUGGGCUGUUUUAUCCUGGAGACGGCGCGGUUGCUAGUCUACCUUGCACAAUUCAGGUAGUGCCGCGAAACGUCUUAAAGAGAGCGACCUGGUCGUGACUCAUCCCGGUAAUAGUUUCAAAAGCUCCAUCGUAUAUUUUCAAAUUAGAAAAAACAACAUUUUUAAGACGUUUCGAAUACGAUACGAUGAGUUCUGAAAAGAUUACCGCGGUUUCAGCUGAUGACUUUAACAAACCGUUUCUGUUUACGGGUAGCCACUUCAAACGUUGGCAGCAAAAGAUGUUGUUCUUCUUGACCACUAAAAAGGUUGCCUACGUUUUGAAGGAAGCUAUGCCUGUAGCACCUACGAGUUCGACUCCUGCUGGAGCGAAUAAUAACGGUAAGGCAGCAGACCCUACUGCUGCUGAGAAAGCUGACCCAGAUAAACAGCUAGCCAUAGAUAUAGCUCUAUGGAAGGAAAAUGACUACCUCUGUAAGAAUUAUAUUCUUAAUAGACUCACAGACCCUCUAUAUGAUUAUUAUAGACUUUGUGAUACUGCUAAACAACUAUGGGAAGCACUUCAGAAGAAGUAUGAUACUGAAGAGGCUGGUGUUAAGAAAUACGCCGUAAGCCGCUAUCUGAAUUUCAAAAUGAGUGAUGAUAAGUCCGUUGAGGCACAAUCACAUGAGCUGCAACAAAUUGCUCACGAGAUCAUAGCUGAAGGGAUGGCACUUCCCGAACAAUUUCAAAUAGCUGUGAUUAUUGAUAAGCUACCUCCUGCCUGGAAGGACUUCAAGAGUCUUCUUAGACAUAAAACUAAGGAGUUCUCUCUUGAAAGUCUGAUCACUCGCCUUCGUAUUGAAGAAGAAGCGAGAAAGCAGGACCAGAAUGAAGAGGUGUUUGUUGUUUCUAACAACAACACUAAAAAGAAAUUUGUAGGUGCUGUUCUGAAGCCUGCUGGCAAACCAUUUAAGAAUCAGAACCGCCCUAUGAAUAAGAAUUCCAACAGGAAUAAGACUGGGAACAAUUCAAGACCCCAGAUUCAACAGCCACCAAAGAAUGAUGCUGCUCCACCUUUCAACUGUUACAAUUGUGGGCAAGCAGGUCAUAUGGCACGCAAGUGCAGAAACAGAACCAACCGACCAGCACAGGCUCACAUGGCUACUGAUGCUGCACCUGAUGAGCCCUAUGUGGCUAUGAUUACUGAGAUCAAUAUGAUUGCAGGUUCUGAUGGCUGGUGGGUGGACACUGGUGCUUCUCGCCAUGUCUGCUAUGAUAGAGAUAUGUUCAAAACAUAUACUGCUUGUGAUGAUCAGAAGGUGUUGUUGGGAGACUCCCACUCCACUGAUGUUGUUGGAAUCGGAGAUAUAGAGCUGAAAUUCACCUCUGGAAAGACUCUGAUACUGAAGGAUGUGUUGCACACUCCUAAGAUUAGGAAGAAUUUAGUUUCAGGUUUUCUUUUGAAUAAGGCUGGGUUUACUCAAAGCAUAGGGGCUGAUUUGUACACCAUCACUAAGAAUGGUAUUUUUGUUGGGAAAGGGUACGCCACUGAUGGCAUGUUUAAGUUGAACAUUGAUAUGAAUAAAAUUUCUUCUUCUGCUUAUAUGUUGUGUGAUUUUAAUAUUUGGCAUUCUAGACUCUGUCACGUUAACAAAAGAAUUAUUUCAAAUAUGAGCGGUUUAGGAUUAAUUCCUAAAAUAUCUUUAAACGAUUUUGAAAAAUGUCAAUUUUGUAGUCAAGCAAAAAUAAAUAAAGAAUCACAUAAAUCAGUAACCAGGAUAACUGAACCUUUUGAAUUAAUUCAUUCUGAUUUAUGCGAAUUAGAUGGAAACUUGACUAGAAAUGGAAAAAGAUAUUUCAUCACUUUUAUAGAUGACUGCUCGGAUUACACACAUGUGUAUUUAAUGAGAAAUAAAAAUGAAGCGCUUGAUAUAUUUAAACAGUAUUUUAAAGAAAUUGAAAAUCAAUUCAAUAUUAGAAUCAAGCGUUUUAGAAGUGACAGAGGUACUGAAUAUGGAUCACAUAUAUUCAAUGAGUAUUAUAAAGAACUCGGAAUUAUUCAUGAAACAACUGCUCCUUAUUCUCCUGAAAUGAACGGUAAAGCGGAAAGAAAAAAUAGAACGUUUACCGAAUUAGUAGUUGCAACAAUGCUUAAUUCCGGAGCAGCGCCUCAUUGGUGGGGAGAAAUUUUAUUGACUGUUUGCUAUGUGCUAAACAGAGUACCCAAAACAAAGAACAAAAUUUCUCCAUAUGAAAUUUUGAAGAAAAGACAACCAAACUUGUCUUAUUUUAGAACAUGGGGCUGUCUAGCCUAUGUAAGAAAACCAGACCCCAAAAGAGUCAAACUAGCAAGUAGAGCCUAUGAAUGUGCAUUCAUUGGGUAUGCCUUAAAUAGUAAAGCCUAUAGGUUUUACGACCUGAAAUCUAAAACGAUCAUAGAAUCAAAUGAUGUUGACUUCUAUGAAAAUAAAUUUCCCUUUAAGUCAGGAGACAGUGGGGGUAAUAGUGGGGGCACUGAUAACUCAGUUCUUGAUCAACCUUCUGAAAUCAUAACAAGCAAUGAAAACAUCGAAAGAGAUGUUAUAGAACCUCGUAGAGGUAAGAGAGCAAGAAUUGCUAAAGAAUAUGGCCCCGAAUAUGUGGCAUAUACAAUAGAGGAGGAUCCAUCAAGCAUCAAGGAAGCUCUGUCUUCAAUUGACGCUGAUUUAUGGCAAGAAGCUAUAAAUGAUGAAAUGGAUUCUCUAAUGUCCAACGAAACUUGGCACCUAACUGACUUGCCUCCUGGAUGUAAGACUAUAGGUUGUAAGUGGAUUUUGAAAAAGAAACUAAAACCUGAUGGGUCAAUCGACAAAUAUAAGGCACGCCUUGUUGCCAAAGGUUUUAGACAAAGAGAAAAUGUAGAUUUCUUUGACACAUAUUCACCUGUAACUAGAAUCACUUCCAUUAGGGUACUAAUCUCAUUGGCGGCUAUCCACAAUUUGAUAGUACACCAAAUGGAUGUAAAAACUGCUUUUUUAAACGGUGAAUUAGAAGAAGAAAUCUACAUGGACCAACCUGAAGGUUUCGUAAUCCAUGGACAAGAGAACAAAGUUUGUAAGUUAGACAAAUCUUUGUAUGGUCUAAAACAAGCACCGAAACAAUGGCAUGAGAAAUUCGACAAUCUUAUGAUUGAGAAUGAGUUUAAGGUGAAUGAAAGCGACAAGUGUAUUUAUUCCAAGUACGAAAAUAACACUUGCACGAUCAUAUGUCUAUACGUAGACGACUUACUCAUAUUUGGUUCAAACCUCAAUGCCAUUAAAGAUGUGAAAUCAUUGUUGUGCCACAACUUUGAUAUGAAAGACCUAGGAAAGGCAGAUGUAAUUCUUGGAAUCAAGAUUACUAGAACUGAUAAUGGAAUUUCCUUGAAUCAAUCUCACUACGUUGAGAAGAUCUUAAGGAAAUAUAAUUACUUCGAUUGUAAACCUGCGAGCACACCUUGUGACCCAAGUGUGAAGCUAUUUAAGAACACUGGAGAUAGUGUUAGACAAACUGAAUAUGCAAGCAUCAUUGGCAGUCUCAGAUAUGCCACUGAUUGUACUAGACCCGACAUCGGCUACGCCGUGGGACUAUUAUGCAAGUUUACGAGCAGGCCAAGCAUGGAGCAUUGGCAAGCUAUCGAAAGAGUCAUGAGAUACUUGAAGAAGACCAUGACUCUAGGACUGCAUUAUCAGAGAUAUCCUGCAGUGCUUGAAGGAUACAGUGACGCAGAUUGGAACACCUUAUCAGAUGAUUCCAAAGCGACCAGUGGCUAUAUAUUUAGCAUUGCUGGAGGAGCUGUUUCCUGGAAAUCCAAGAAACAGACCAUUCUGGCUCAGUCCACAAUGGAAUCUGAGAUGAUAGCACUAGCUGCUGCUAGUGAAGAAGCAAGUUGGCUAAGAUGCUUGCUAUCUGAAAUCCCUUUGUGGGAGAGACCGUUACCAGCUGUGUUAAUUCAUUGUGAUAGUACCGCGGCUAUCGCAAAGAUUGAGAAUCGUUAUUACAAUGGUAAGAGACGACAGAUAAGACGAAAACACAGCACGAUAAGAGAAUAUCUUUCGAACGGAACGGUAAGAGUAGAUUUCGUACGAACAAAUGAAAACUUAGCUGAUCCUUUGACGAAAGGACUAAACAGAGAGAAAGUCGCAAAUACAUCCAGUAGGAUGGGACUAAUGCCUAUUGAUCAUAAGUGAUGGAAACCCGACCUAAAUGACUGGAGAUCCCAAGAACUAGGUUCAAUGGGUAAUAACAAAUCACAAGUGACCGAAGGUUGAGAUAAUAGAAACUCUUAAUGAGAUCUAUACUCCUUAUGGAGUGAAGUACAUAGCUACAGGAGUACUUCUGAUAGACUCACCUAUACGUAUGUAGAACUGAGGCCGGUUCUUAUGGAAUUUCGAGGCAGAAUUCCUAGAGCAUUCGUUAAAACUGGGAUAGACGUGCAAGGCCAUUAACGCACGGGCUUUUUAGAAAACACCUAAGAAAAGGUUGUGUGUGGGUCCUAUGUCUGAGAUAGAGUUCAAUGCUGUAAGCAACUCUUGUUAAUCAGAAUACUACUCACUAUGCAAAGGUUCAAGUUGUUGGCGACACCUUUGUUUACUAGCAAUCUUUAAGAAACGUUUAAAACGUAACUUUCGAAACCAAUUUUGAAUUCAAGUGGGGGAUUGUUGGAACACUAGUGUAUAAUGAAAAAAACUUGGAGUAUACUAGUGAGUUUGUGGAGCCUUUGGCAUGUAAACAUCAGGAUGGAGAAACUAGUGUAAAGUGUGAAUUGAAAAUUUUAUGUCCCACAUCGGGUAGAUCACACACUCUAGUAGAAAUCCUCCUUAUAAAUUGAGAGCUCGGGAAUAGUAUUCUUCACUCCAAAACUGAGAAUCGAAUACUCUUCUCUGGUUUUCUCCCCUUCUCAUCUCCCGCGAUUUGUGUUGACGAAUCGUUCUUUUCCUCCUCCUCUUUCUGUGGGCUUCGGAAAAUUGUGGGCUUCGGAAGAGUGGUCUAAGAACCAUAUUGUGGGAUUCGGAAGAGUGGUCUAAGAACCAUAUUGUGGGUUUCGGAAGAGUGGUCUAAGUACCAUAUCGAGGUGUCAUUCUCGAGCGAUUUCUGGCAGUGCAGCCUUUAAUCGUACAGUAAGAAUCUGGGCUGUUUUAUCCUGGAGACGGCGCGGUUGCUAGUCUACCUUGCACAAUUCAGGUAGUGCCGCGAAACGUCUUAAAGAGAGCGACCUGGUCGUGACUCAUCCCGGUAAUAGUUUCAAAAGCUCCAUCGUAUAUUUUCAAAUUAGAAAAAACAACAUUUUUAAAUAACAUUAGGAGUAUUAUUUUUUAGGGUUAAUGGUGCUUUAACCCUCUAAUAUAAGUCAUUUCCAGGUUUAUCCGCUAUAAAAUAUUUUUUUUUAGAUUUUAACAUAAAAGAUAAGAAAAAUAUAAUUCAAACUUCUCUCAAAAAUGAAGAGUCAAAUGUUUUUAAUAUGUUUUGAAUAACAGAAUAUGCGAGUGUAUAUUUUAACAUAAAAAGAAAGAAAAAAAAAUAUAAUUUAGGCAUCUUUCAAAAGAAGGAGUGCAAUUUACUCAUAAUUUAUUUUAGUUAUUAGACAACUUUUAUGAUGUACUGUAUAAAAAAAAAAACAUGUACAAGAUUUAGUAGACAAUGGACACAACAAACAAAAUAUAAUUUUAUUCAUUAUAAUUUAGAGCAGUGAUGUUUGAACAACCAUUUAAGAUAACUUUAUUUUUUUUUUAUUUUCGUUGAUCAAAAACAAUUAAAAGAGAAUAAAAACAUAAUAUGAAUAUGAGAGAGAAAGUUGUCAAAAUAUUAUCAUAAAAUAAUUAUACAAAUAUCAUUUCUCUAAAAUUUAUAGUGCGUGUGAUAAUGAAAACAUGUGUUUCUUGUGUGUUGCAAUUGAUCACGUCUUAGGUAAGCAUAUUUUAAUCUUAAUAUGUAAUGAAUAUCAGAUAUAGUGCGUGUAAUAGUGAAAACAUGUGUUUCUUGUGUUGCAAUUGAUCACAUCUUCGGUAAACAUAUUUUAAUCUCAACAAGUAAUGAAUAUUUUCCAAAAUAAAGAAAAGGGUCACGAUCGUGUCUUGCUUUAUUUUUAUUCCUUUCUUCACUCUCGUGAUUUUAUCGUUGCAGCUUUAAACUGAGUGAAACAACACAUAUAUGACAAAAGCAAAGUGCAAAAUGUUCAGUGCUGAGUGAAACUUAAGCUUAAGCAAAAGCUAUAUUCUUUCUCACCUUUUGUCUCUUUAGCAUUAUAAGGCUUCGUAUCUCGUCGUGUUUCUCAUGGCCUUGGGAGCAAUAUUACUAUGUUUGCUUUCAUUUUUAGAUCAGCAAAGGUGAUUUAAAAGACAUGUAAUUUAGACUUUUGUUUUGGUUGUUGAAGAUGCACAUUACUCAUGUGAUGAGGAAACUUUUAUGUGUCAUUUCAUUCAUGAAGAAGAAGAACAAGUGUCAUUACACAUGAGUUUGCCUAUGAUUCCAAUAUUGUUACCUACAAAUUUAUGUACCCCAUGUGCAUGACUAACUUCAAUGCUCAGUAAAGUAUAUGAAUGAGUUUGAACUACCAAUAUUGCGAUUGAAAAUUACUAGCUGUAUCUCUAUUUAUUCGUUCUUUUAGUGAAAAAAAAAAAGCUUAAUACAAGUUAAAACAUAUACUAAUUUUAUUUUUCUAAAUAUAAAUAUCGCUAACUAAUAACUUGUUUUGAUAGAUGAAAAGACAACAUUAAGAGCAUAUGUUUGCUUACUUCAGAAGUUCAAGAGUACGAUAAUUUUUAAAGCUUGUUGUGGAAGAUUUAGAAAUAUUUACUAUUACAAUUGUAUAGCAUAACCAGAAAGAUUUUGACCCAAAUAUAUAGUUCACUCAUUCUACUAUAAUUCUUUCUAUAUGUGUGUUUCAUGUGGAUUGUUAUUUUUGCUCAAAAGUGUGGUCAUUUUUUAUAGACUAUCUGUGUGUUCCAUGUGGAUUGUUAUUUUUGCUCGAAAUUGCGAUCAUUUCCAAACCUUCCUUUAUUAUUAUUGGUAUAUACUUUGUGAAACCACUUUGAGCCUCCAUGCAAAUUUUAUUUAUGUUACUUAUGUGACUUGAAUCAUGUCAGAAGUUUUGAACCCUACAAUGAUACUUCGAUUUGAAUUAUUUUAGAGUCAGAUAUAUUAGUGCAAUACUUAUCAUGGUUUCAAAUUAAGUUUCAGAUUGCUCGUUGAAAUUAGCAACAUCUUAAGUUUGGGUUGAGGUACCAAUAAUACUUGGUUAUCAAAAUGUACUUGCAAAAGUACAAUAAUCGUAAUUAGGGUUUAUAUUGUAUUGGUCAUUCCUUGAGAAGGCUAUCAAGGGCUGUAUUUAUAGCCCUCUAUGAGCCUGGUUUGUGGUUAUUUAGGCUAUAAGUAACGAGGGCAAUUAUGUAUUUAGGCUGCCUUCUAGAGGUUUUAGAAAUAGGUUGAGGCAGCGCCUUAGGGAGGGUGCGUCUUAGGCCUUAGGGCCUUUAUGGAGGGCACUAAGUCCUUUGGGAGGGUCUAAAAGCCCUUUUGGAGGUCUUUUAGAGAUAUAUUGACGGUCCACAUUCCCCCAAGCACGAGUGUUGGGACAAGGCGAAGUGAUUAAUUUGCUUUAAAAAAUUUGUUUAUGCUUUGAUUAUACUUCGUGUAGGCCUUUGGGGUGCUAUCAUCCGAAUUUGGAGAGCCCCCUAGGGUGAUUCCACUUAUUUUCUAAGCCCCCCCAGAGAGUAUACAUUCAAUUUGUCUUAUAGGAUGAUCACUCCCAGCCCCCCAAGCACGAGCUUUGGGAGAAGGCGAAGUGGUUUGUGAUGGCGUGAUGAGUUGAGUCACCUGUGGUGAUUUUCAAGGGCGGGAUUGUUGAAGAAUAUAAGGCGAGUCUUUUGAUUUAUCAAGAGAUCUAACAUUUCAGAUCUCGUGACCUUUCGAUGAUGUUGACGUGAUUUAAUCGUGGAGUUUUCCUCCACGUGUCUCCACUCAUGGACAAAGGUGAGAGUGUUUUUUGAGGUGGUUUAAAUUUGCUUCCUAUAAAAACGUGUUUCCCUUCAUUUCCUCUAUUUCAUUUCCACUUUUUUCGCUUCUGAUUCUUCUGUAUUCGUGCGAAAUUUGCUAGCUGCUUUCUGGAUUUUCAAUCUUGAUCUCUUCAAACUUCUCAAGUACUCUUUCCUUUCGUCUUUUUUUUAGCUUUUUUCAAAAUUUCUUAGCUUGUCAUUUAGGAAUGGUUCUCAUUAAGAAAGGACUACUUAAGGCAUGGAACACGGCCGAAUGGUUUGAUUGAUUGGGACGCGUACGAAUAAGGGCUUUUCGGCCAUAGGGUUUUGAGUGAGUUAUCUAGUGAUAGUGAUACCAGUAGUGAUAGUAACUGUGUGUUUCUCUAUGCUACCUCAGGAGCAGAUCAUAAGGGGGAAGUUUGUCUGGAGAUAUGUCCCUACACGUCUUCGUCGUCUUAUUCUAAAAUAUCCUUGCGAGCUUGAGAUGAAUGAAUUUACUGAAGAGGUUCUCCGGGAGUACUCGUUGUAUCUGGAGGUAGCAGCAGUCAAUUACUUUCGGAGUAAAUUGGACAUCUCUUCCUCAGAGAACGAGGAGGACGUGGUGGUGCUGCCUUGUCAGGUGGGCGAGAGAGUACGCGACCAACGGUUGGCGAACACCGUGGAUGAAUCUUUUCUGAUGUAUAUGGCGGUGCUGGAGGAAUUCGGGGUAACAAUUACUUUCACGGCGUUCGAGAUGGAUGUGUUGAUGCUCUUGAACGUGGAACCGUCUCAAAUACGUCCUAAUAGCUUGGCGUUUAUCCGUGGUUUUGAAAUUCUGUGUAAAGCUUUAAGUUUGGAACCUUCUGCUGCGUCUUCCUUCAUUUCAAUGGGACUAAAGAUGUCAAUAAAGGGAUGUGGAUUUCGAUUAGUGCCCAUCCUGGAAAAAAUACUCUUUCCUCCGUACGCUUCUAAUUUCAAGGAGUGGUGAGACUCAUUUCCUAGGGUAGAGGGGGCGCCUGAGUGUUCCAGUGCUUCAGUGAUGGUGGAAGGGAAACCUAAGUUUCCUUUGUGUUGGACUUAUGCGUUUGUCGUAGUGAUGGGCUAUGACUUUAGUAAGAUGACGCCAUACGAACGGAUAUGGUAUGUUAUUUGGAGAAGUUUCCAGUUAUGGACCUUCAUGAUCUUCUGAACCGAGAGGGUUAUAUCAAGAUCCUUGAGCCUUAUUUGUGUGUGUUUUGAUUUUAUUCUCAUGUUGAGAAGUAUAAGGACGCUACUUAAGAUGUUGAGAAGUGGAAUCACAAAGUGACGGGCAUGAAGGCAAGGUUGAAAGAAGCUUUGAAAGAGAAGAAGACUGCAGAGAAGGCCACCAGUGAUAUAUAGAGUGAGAAAGAGGUUGUGGAGCUGGAGAGGGAUUCUUGGAAGAAAAAGGCUGGUGAACUUGAAGGGGACUAGCUACUACUAAGACCUCCGUUGAAGAUGGCAAAGGGGCGCUUGCCCUAUACUUCGACAAUGGCUUUGAGCGUGCCUUGGUGCAGGUUCUCCAUUUUCACCCUGAUGCUAAAGUGGAUGAGUUGGAUCCUUUCAACGUCUUGAUAGAUGGGUAGUUAGUGGACGAAGAGUGAUGCCGUUGUACCGCCUUGCUUUGUAAUUUAUAUUUUUUGUUGCUUUUGAUAACUUUGGCUUUUUGUUUCUUUUGGGAAAUCUGUAACUUAAAUGUACUUUGGGAAUUCAUUACUCCUCUUUCUUCCCUCAUUAAAUUGGAGGUCAACUUCGUUCUUUUCUGUUAUACUCCUUCUCUUAACUUGGAAAAAAGCAUCGCCUGCUAUCCUACUUUCUACUUCUCUUCAUGCUCCUAUUAAAAAUUUGAACUGAGUCAUGCAUAUUUUAUUCAAACCAAUGGGAGGUACAGAUACCGGAAAUGCAAACCAAUACUUGAGGUACCCAGCAGGGGCUGAAUAUAUUUCCACAAAGCCGAAGAAUUCCAGAAUUUUCAUUGUUUAAAAUAAUGGCACUCCAGGAAUGUUUCGCUAUCUUAUUCGGAACUUAGGUGUGAUAUUCGACCUUUGAAGCUUAAUUCUCCCAUUAUGGGGGACAACAAUAAUGGACGUAUUUUUACUGGCGAUCUAAUCGUAAUCUUCAAGCGUCACAAUUAUAACCGAUUUGGUUUCAAGUAAGAGUAGCUUCGCCUCAUCUUUCUUGGUCUUGAUCUUCCUGUUGUUUACCUGAAUAUCAUCUCGAAGUAGAAUGCUUAUCGGUUAAUCUAAAUAAUAAUAUACUGAUUCCGAGAUUGAUAGCCACACAUACAUGAUAAUUUAAACACUAGAAUUAGGUUAAAAUAUAUUUGAUUUUAUUAGGUUUUAUCAUGACGAAGCUGCUAAUGGUAACAAACAGAUAGCCGGUAAUACAUCCUUGUAUCAAAAAGGUUUGAUCAACAAAAUGUUUUUGACUUUGAACAUACAAUUAUCUUAUAACUUGGUGCCCAUAUAAUUUGGUUUAUAUGAAAUCGAUAGGCUUGUAACUUCUUCCACCGAUAAAAUAAAUAAAUUAUGAUGGCUAGAAAGGUAUUCCACAUGCAUCAAUUAAAAUCUACCCAAAAUGUAUGUGCAUAUAUGAAAGGGGCGUGUGUGUUCAUUUGAAUAAUCAUAAUGAACAUGCAUCAUGAACGGCAACUCGAAGCAAUUCAAUUUUCUCCUUCCAAACAGAUUUCUCCAUCAUUUGAAUAGAGCAUAAUUUUAGAAAGAUAAAUCCUGAUUUAGUUAUAAAUCGUUGCUUCUAAGGAGCUGUUCGUGGAUCUUGAGGCCGGGCGAGGUUUGGUCUUCGCCAGUCAUCAUUUUUUCUCUAGAUUGCCGGAGGUUUUUAGGUUUAUGAGUGUGGCCUAGGUUAGUUUUAUCGAGGUACCCAGAGACGGAUGCCAACUGUACUAGCAGUGAGUACAAUAUUAGAAAGUUUAGUUUUUCAUGAUUCCUUGAGAAUGCUCUCAAGAGGGGGCAUUUAUAGCCCUUCGUUGGCAUGUAAUUCGAUGACUUAAGCCCCAAGCAGCUUGGGCACUAAAUCACUCUAGAGCAUUCUAGAUCUUUCUAAAAGCUUGUUAAGACGGCGCCAUUAGGGGAACGCGAUAGGACUUCAGGAGCCCUUCUGGAGGGCAUUUGUGCCCUUAAGGGUAGAUUGACGGUCUAGGAGAGCAUUAGAGAAUUAGGGUUACAAAAGAAAAAGAGAAAAAGAUAGCAAAGCAAAAGUAAAACUAGGGUUGCAGAGAAAAGAGACAUAAAUGCAUAGUGAGAAGAUUAGAAAGAUUCAAUUGUUGUAAGGGGGGAGUUUUAUUCAAUCUAAGUGUAGUAUAUUCAUGUGGGUAGAGAUGAGUCUUUAACCUCAAGUGUUUUUAUUUAUUCUUAUAAUGAAUCCUUGUUAUAGUGUAUUCUUUUGUGUUCUUAUAACUGUAAAUUUGGUUGUAGUUUAUAAAUUGUGAUGGAUCUUUGUUAAAUUUCGUUCUCUUAUGUUGCUGUAAUUAUAUAUUUGAUCUAUUGAGAUUAGGAACAAUUUUGAUUUCAAAUUUAAUGUACUGUGGGUAGAUAUAUAUAUAUAUAUAUAUAUAUAUAUAUAUAUAUAUAUAUAUAUAUAUAUAUACACGAUAUCGAUGCAUAUUGCUUCAUCGUAGCCUAUUGUAAAUCGGUGAAGAAAUGAAGCCUUUGAAGGUGACGUCAUAAGCUGAAGAAUCUAAAUUAGUUUGUCGUCUUUUGAAGGAAUGUCACUAUCUGACUCUGAGUAGUGCAUUUUGUGUUCUUUUUACCACGUGUAGAAACAAACAAACAAAUUCAAAGACAAAGACAAUGCAACAAAUCAUUCUAUUUGAAGCAAAUGAAUUUUGAAUGACUACACAACGACUCUAACCUUUUGAUGCGCUAACACUCUUCAACAACUGCUCUCAGAAUAUCUUCUAUAGAUGGACCUGAGCAGUUGAAGAAUAAAUAUAAUACUCUGAAUUUUUACAAGUGUUCUAACUAUGUCAAAAUUAAUACCGCACAAAUUCUUAACGAAUUUCUUAUAAUAGAAAUUCGUAAGUGUAAGAGUACAUUUGAACUUUAUUAUAUUACAUCUCUAAUUGUAUAUCAAGUGUAAACUCCAACACACAUUUUGCUUGAUUAAAUUAGAUUGUAGAAGUCUCUUGUGUGAUUGAGCCAUAUAAGUCUCUUUCUCGUGUAAUUGAGCAAAGGAAGUCUCUUGUUUAUGUGUUUGAGCAACUUGUAAUCUAUGAGAUUAUAGUAGAAAUCCCUCUGAAGUGCAAUGGACAGGACUAUUUUUGGUUUGUAGUAGGAACCAAUAUAAUUUCCAUGUGCUCUCUCUCUCUAUCUCUCUCGCUCUCCCCUCUGUGAUAAUCCAUCCACACAUAAUUUAUCUCAUUCUCCCAUAUCUCUCCAUCCAAAUCACUCUUGAGAUACAAAACUCAUAAUUUAGAUACGACAAAAUUCAUAUAAUCCUCAUCACACCUUAUAAUGAUACAAAAAGAGUCAAAUCACACUACAAUCAUACCAGUACCCUAAACAUAAUAAACACAGAACUCCUUAUUCAAGUACAAACCAAACUCAUUAGUUUCAAUCCACAAAGCAAUACAAUAAAAUAAACACCUCUACAACUUAACACCCUUGAUACUUGGUGGUGGCACCUUCUUCAAAAUAACUUUGAGAAGAUCAAUAUAUAACGGAAAAUGCUCAACUGCAUAGAAUGUGAUAGGCAAGCAAAUGGCAAUAUAUAAAUAGAACAAGAUACCACUCUUGGUAUAUUUAUCUGUGAGCACAAAGUAGUGUCCACCAAUGAAACAAAUGAACAUGGCAACAAUGGCUACGAAGAGAGAACUAAACCCAAAAAGAAGUUUCAAUGGCAAGUUUCUAUUGAAGUCUUCGACUUGUUUUCGAGAAGUGAGUAAAGCAAGGAACAUGAUGAGUGCAGUGGCAGAGAAGUAAAGUCCAAUUAACGAAGAUAUAGAGAAUACUUCGAAUGCAGGCUGUCCUUCGAAUGUUGGUUUUCCAGUAUUCUGAUUACCUCCGGGGACGCUGCCUGAUGUAGCAAAGGAGACGCCUGCGACGAGUGCCGCUACAACUGAGCAUGACUGUGAUGUGUCUUUCAACCACUCAAUGCUUUUAUCUAGAAGUUCUUUGUGUUCCUCCUUAAAGAUUUCACCUGGGGUUUUUCUAUCGUUGUUGCUUCUAUGAUGGUAAUGGUCUGGUACUAGUCUUUUAAUGUACUAUACAGUACCAUUCACAUAUAUUAAGACAAAAAAAUGUUAAUAUUUUUAAGAGAAACAUAAAUAGAUAUUCCUAAUAUUUAAAUAAAAUAUAUAUUUUUAAAUGUAUGUUACAAGUACAAUUCAUUUUAUUUUUAAAGAAGUACAAUUCAUUUAAUUUGAUGAAGUUUACAUAUGACAUGAUUUAAAAAUUAAUUGACAGUUUUUAGAUCUUGAAAAUACAGUGUUUUUUUUUAAGAGGAUGAAAAUAGAAUAACUAUAUCAAAGAGUUACUUUGAAUUAAACAUGGAUCAAGUAAUGUAUCGAUAGAAUGACUACGUAUUUUAGGGUUUGAAUGGGAGCUUCUACGAAGAAGUCAGGAAAAUGACUUUUUCGGUGAAAUCGUUUGAAUAGGCCAAUCAGAUUUUAAGUGAUGACACGUCAGAAAUCCUAAUAAUGUUACAGUGUAGUGCGGUCUACAAUACCGUUAGUAAAGAAAAACUUUAUUUCAUGAUCUUAAUGGUUAGAUUUACUUGAUCUUUAUGUUAUUGUGGUACAACAUCUACACAUUAAUUUUCUUCUAGUACCAAUUCUCUCUCCUUUUUAUUUCUCUUUCUUUAUUUAUUUAUAUUCUCUCUUCCAGAUUUUUAUUAAAUCAACAUCUUCAUCUUUCCUUCAUCUUCUUCAUCAUAUCUUCAUCAACUUAUUCAUCAUCUUCAUGAGAGAGAGAAAAAACCCAGAAAUUAAAAAAAAAUGAAAUUACAUAAUAAAAAAAAACAUUACAAUUAAAUACAUUUCCAUAAAAACAAUUCCAAUUUCAAUUCCUCAUUUCCCAAAUUAAUCCCCUAAUUAAGCGUAUUUCUCCAAUUUUAUCUUAACGAAGACCUAAAUAUAAUUUCAUCCCAUGUAUUUUCUGAUUUGUUUUUGCUCUUAUCCACCGUGCUUUUGACUUGUGAAAGAAAAAUCAAUUUCAUAACAAAAAUGAUACUAUUUAGAUCAUUAUAUUGUCCUUUGUAACACCUAUUUGCUAAAAAAAAUUAUUACGUAAGUUUUACAUUUAAUCUUUCAGUUUUUCGUACUAUAAACGAUAUAAACACUUAAUCUUUCAGUUUUCAAAGAUGAGUGAUAUGGUAUGAAAAAGUAUAAUAACCCAUAAAUAUGAGUCACAAGUUGUUCAUUAUAAACUUACAAGAGUCUUUGGAAUUCCUCUCAAAUUAACAAAAAAAAGUCUUUGGAAAUGUAAAACUCUAAAUCAGUAUAUAUAUUAGUUUUAUUAAUAUUAGCUAUUUUAAUUUUAUUUUUAAUAAUUUUUUUUGAAAUAAUUUUUAAUAAAAUUAUAAUUAGGUAUCUACUACUACCUCCGUUCCUUUUUAAGUGUCACUUUUGGAGAAAAUUUUUGUUCCUCUUUAACUGUCACUUUCAAAGUUCAAUGCAACAUUAAAUGUUGUUUUACCAAUAUUGUCCUUAGUUAUUUAUUGUGGAGAGAGAAAUAUAUGAAAUGGGAUAUUAAAUGAAUAAGGUCAGUACAUCUUAUUGCAUCAAAAGUGGUAUCAAUUGUUGAUUGUCUUGAUUUAUGUAAAAUGUGACAAUUAAAAAGGAACGGAGGUAGUACAAUAUUAAAUAAAAUAAACGUCAACAUAAUAUAAUCAACCAGGUCAUGAAAUAUGACCUUAUUGGAAUAAGAACGAAGUAGAAACUGAAAUUUCAGAAAUCGAAAUCUUUGAUGUAAGUCGAUUUAACGAACUAUCUCAUUAGAAACCUAGUCAACAUGGAAUGACAUUGCUCCGACAAUCAAAAUGGAUCCAACCAACUAACGGUAUCAGAUAUAAUCAAUCAGACCGUUGAAUAUGUCCAUAUUGAAGUAAGAAUGAAACACGAACUGGAAUUUUGAAAAUCGGAAUCUUAAAUGUAAGUCGAUCUGACAAACUAUCACAUUAGAAAUCUAGUCAACAUGAAAUGACAUUGCUCCCACGAUCAACUUAAUUAAUAAAAAUAUUACUAAUGAUCACAUUCUUUUUUUUUUUACUAAAAUUAUCACAUUCUUAAAAAGUGAAUGGCUAUUCGACAAAAAAUAUUAGUAAUGAUCACAUCAAAAAAAAAGUUAUGAGUUUUUAAAAUUUUAUCAUAUCGAUAGAUAAAAUUUACAACAAGUGUAGUGCAAAUAUUUAAAAGUGUUUUUCAUAUAAAAUAAAAAUUAUUUAAUAAGAACACUUAUUAAUGUUGAUAUUUUGAAAUAGUCAUAAGUUUUCAAAAUUUUAUCAUAUCGACUUUCUAAUAUCGGUACAUAAAAAAUUUCAAAAAAUAAAUAAAUUUCUUAUGCAGAUAUUUUUAAAAUAGUGAUGAACUAUUAAAGUUUUAUCUUUGAUGCACGUCGAUCUGACAAACUAUCCCAUUAGAAACCUAGUCAACAUGGAAGGACAUUGCUCAAACGAUUAAAACGUACAAAACCGACUAACGAUAUCAAAUAUAAUCAAUCAGACCGUUGAAUAUAACCUUAUUGGAAUAAGAACGAAACAGGAACUGAAAUUUCAGAAAUCAAAAUCUUUGGUGUAAGUUGAUCUGACAAAAUAUCAUGUUUGAAACCUAAUCAGCAUGAAAGGAUAUUACUGCGACGAUCAAAAGAAAUUCAACCGACUAACACUAUCAAAUAUACUCAAUCGGACCAUUGAAUAUUACUUAUUGAAUAUGACAUUUAUGAAGGAGAUGUCUUAAGACACUUUUUAAUGAUUACAAAUUAAAAAAUUAUUCUUUUUAAAAAAAUCAAAUAUUUCAAUUUGCAAUGCAUUGAAUAUUGGGUUAAAUGUGUUUUGAUCUUUAUAAAUAUUCUAAUUUUUCAUUUUAGCCUCUUUAGAGUUAUGAGACUAAAAUGAAAACAACAAGUAACUUAGUGUACCAAAGGUUCAAUUAAGUUAAAAAAUAAUAAUUCAAUUUAAUUUCCGUAUAUAUUGCAAACGUACAAGAUUUUCAUAAUAAAUUGAUUGUGAUUCAUUGGUUAUAAUGCUAUACUUGUAUCUUGAGGUUCCUGGUUCAAUCCAUCAUACUAAUGAAACUCGUGUUUAAUUUUUUUUUCCAGCGCUUUUUUUUAAGCAAAACAAAAAUAAAAUCAACCUUGGCAUGGAAUCAAACUCGCAACCUUGAAGCGUUUUUAAGUAAAUUAAACCACUGCAACGUGUGCAUUUAGUGUACAAUGUUUUCGUUCUUGCUUAUUUAUAAAAUAAAUCUGAUAAAAAAAGUCAUCAUUCCAGCCGGGUCACUUUAACCCGGUUCAGAUAUUCGAAACCCGAAAUCAAACCCGACGAUUUAGAGCAAUUUCAACGUCGAAAAUGAUGAUUAUAUAAAUUGUUUUCAAUACUAUUCUCCUUUACUUCCCACCUAUAUGAAUUCCAAAUCAAGUAUUUGAAAAAAGUUGCGUGUUGUUCAUACAAUCCUUACACCGUCGUCGGAUUAUUGCUGCCAUCGCCGACGGUUAUCCUCCCAUCUUUGUGCCUACGACGCUGGAUUUUACAACAUAGAUUUGGAUUUUUUUUUUUUUUUUUAAAGCAUAAAUCUGGAAAUUUUAAUAACCCAAAAAAAACUGGAUUUUUUUUAAUUUUUUUCCGUUUAUUAAACGCUUCUACUUUAGUCAAAUAAGUUUGUAAUAUUCAACAAGCUAGUGGAUGAGACUCGCCAACGUCAUAGUUGAUCGGCGUGAAUUUUCUUCUAUUUGGCUCAGUUACACUAGAUGUUUUUUGACAUGCUACGUCACUGACUUGUGAAUAACCAAAUGAUGCUCUACUUGUUUCUAUUUCAUGUACUCUUAAUUGAAUUCCAGUAAUGUGAUUGCUAAAAAAUUUAAAAUCAAUUCAGGUCUGUGGAGAUAAGUUCAAAUUGCGUUGCGCAGGAGAUUAAGCCAAUCCAUACUUCACGAAAUAACACAGAACUGGAAAUUUUAAUUUUUGGAGGUGGUGGCGGCGGCCAUCAUCAUGGUGGUGGAUAUGGUGGACGGGUUUUAUGAACAGUUUAUCAUAGAAUAGUAAAAAAUUAUAAUGCAAAACAAUAAAUAAAUAAAUUGGAAUAAAUGGGUUGUUGAAACUUGAAAUAGAAAGAAGAAAAGGUGAAAAAAGAGAAAGGAAUUAAAUAUAGUGUGAAAGGCAACACAAUAAGACUAGUGAGGUGUUUAAUCCGAUGGUUCAAAAAAUCUAAUAAAACUAGUCUACGGUAGAACAUAUUGAGCAGAUGCACAACACAUAUUAUGCAACAAUAAACACACAUGACAUAUGGCGCAUUAUUAUUGGAUGUAAGAUAACUUCACCAAAAAAGUCAAUUGAAUAACUUCACCAUAGAAUUUCCCUUGAAUUUUAUUUAUUGAUGGAAAUAAAGUUAGAUUUUGAUUUUUUUAUAAUGAACAAAGAUAGAUUGUUUGAAGGGAUUGCCACAUUAAUUAAUAGUUAAUACUCUCCAAAUCCUUAAAAGAAAAAAGAAAAAAACUCUCCAAUUAUUAUCAACGGUAAAAUAUAAAAAAAAUAAAAAUUGUAUCAUAAAUUUGUACUAUAUAAAAAAAAACUCUCCAAUUAUUAUUUUCCUUGAAAAUUUCUUUAUUAAAAAAAUUAUAACAAAAACAUAUUACACUAUAAAAAUAUAUUUUAAAAAAGCGAUAACAAACCGGCCCUUAAUGACCAACUACACAAACUUGGAACAAUAAUAAAUAAAUUAACUAAAAGUUUCGUCUGACUUUUUUUCUACUUCUCUAGAUUUUUUUAAGAAGAAGUAUGUCAAACACAAUAUAAAUUAAGUUCUUAAUAAAAAAAUAAAAAAAGUUUUUUGGGAAUGGAAAAAACUAAAUGGAAGGAACUUUGAAUAAAAUGUAUUGAAACCUACUUUACAACCACUUUUAAUCAGAGAUUAGUUUUAUGGUCUCUAUUUUGAUACAUAACCCUAUGUUGAAAUUAUAAGAUAUAAGAUAAUUGAUACAGUUUUGCCUUAAAAAUAUCAUAUGAUCUUUUUUCAUAUACAUGCAUGCAUAAUAUGUAUGUGACACGUUCGUACGUACCUUGUACCACUUGAUGUCCCACAUCAUUUGCAUGGCCGCACUAGAUAUCCUCCAAGCAUUGUUUUCGUUGUGUGUUGCUGUAAAUGCUGCUAAGUGUAAAAUGGUGUUUUCAUUGAUAUCAACUUGUUGAUUUAUGCUCUGAAAGGUUUCCAUAGAAAGCCUCUUCCACAACCCUUCAACAACUUGUGGCUGUCUAUAUUUCACUGCUAUAAGUAAUGCAUUUUCGUUGUCAGAGUUAGUUUCAUGGAUGACACUUUUUAGUUUAGAUUCAAGCGCAAGCAUGAUUUCAGUUAUGCCAUGUUUUGCUGCACGCAAAUAUGCUGUAUCAUUUGUGCCACUUUUCUUUGCUUCUAAUUCCUUCAUUGCUACAAGUAAUAAGCCUUUCUUGUCAGAUGCCUUUACUUUUGAAUUAAGCUCUUCCAUAAUUUCAACUACGCCAUUUUUAGCCAAAUCUUCCAUGUUUUGAUUUCCUUCUCUCUCUUGUUUUGAAUUCUUUUUUAAAUCCUCUGCAAUACACAACUAUGAUUGUUAUACUUUUUUUUUUUUUUUUUGCGAAACAAAUUAUGUUACUUCACACAAAUUAAAGAUAAAUUAUAAAUAGAGAAAGAUAUAAAAAAAAAAAAUCAAAUUAUUGCUAAAUUGCUAAUUAACAAGUGUCAUAGUUCCGCCUCUAAAUAAAUUGUCAUAGCUAAGGAAAUCAAAAAUAGAAGUUUUUUUUUAUUGGAAAUAAGAAAUUUUAAACGUUAAAAAGGUUGAAUACAAAUGUUUUAAGAGAAUACUACUACGUUUAUUUAUUUAAUGUGUGUAUUUAAGACACUUGUUAGUAAAUUAGUUUACUCUUUUCGUUCAUUUCUUUUUUAAGGAUACUCAUUUUAGGGAUGGUAAAAAGGGUCAAUCCGCUCCGUUCGGCACCGUCCCGCCAAUAAUCCGUAUAAAUAGGGCGCGCAGUGGGGCGGGUCAAUUAGAGAUGUAGAGUUGAAAAUUUCACCUCGUCCCAUUUUAUGGCGGACCGGCAAAUUGGCGGGUUGACCCCGUCGGUGUUUUUUUUUUUUUAAAAAAAAAUAUUAAUAAAAAACUUCACAUAAACAUGUAAAAAUAUAUAAAUUUAAAGACUAUAAAGAAGUAUAAGUAUAUAACUAAUGACUCCACAAAAAAUAUGAAAAUAAUCAUUCAAACAUAUAAAUUACAUCAUCUAAAAAUAUAGAGUAAAUCAUUAAAACAUUCAAAAUAAAAAGUUCACGAGUUAUUAAUUGACUAAGAGUUAAAAAGUGAUAAAAUUAAUUGAAAUCCCCUCCACACCACUUUACAGAAGAGAAAGUUAAAAAAUUGAUUGUGACUUAUAAAUAAAAAACGUCUAAAUCGUCACUGCCCUACUUUUUUGCAGGUUAGGCGGAGCAGGCACCCUACCAGCGACGGGUUUAAAAUUUCAACCCAACCCACUAAAAAAAUAGGUAAUCGAGUCCAACCUGACGGGUCCAAUCCAUUUUGUCAUCUCAGAUAAUAAUUAAUAUAUGUAGCAGUUUGACUAUCUAUACUAUUUACAGAAUCUAUUUUGACCAUAUUGUUUUACUAAUAUAUAAGGAUAAUUAUUAGUAUUUUUUUUUUUUAAGAUGAAGGAUACAAUUAUUAGUAAAUAAAAUGAUCGAUUUGUCUUAAUCAAUAUUUUUAAAAUAUUAAUUUUUAUAAUUUUUAGUUAUAGAUAAUUAAAUAUAUUAAUGAUCAUAGUUUUGUAUUGAUAUGUGCAAAAUGGUCUAACAUGCAAUUAAGAACCGACAAAGUUAUUAAGUCAUUUUUUUGUCCAAAAAUAUUAUUUUGUUCUUACCCUCUUCCCGUUUGCGCCUGACAUCUUCAAAAAAACUCUCAGCUUUCUCUUUUAUUUCUUCGUCAUGUUCUCCAUAAUCAAAGGGAUCAGCCCCACCACACAUGUAUGACUCAUAAGGAUCUUUCAUAAAUGCUUCCAAGAGAUGGCUACCGCAUAUGUGCUCCAUCUUAACCCUCUUUAUUGCCCCUUAGUUUGCAAAAUUAAUUAAGUUCAGCAAAAUUAAUUAAGUGUGUGCACAAAUCAAAAGACCAAUGGUUAAAUAAAAUAAUGUCAUCUCAUGAGCAUAGCUGAAUUGACAAGAACUUUGCAGUAUAUAUGAGCUGAGGUUUGAACUCGAAAUUUCUCACUUAUUAACUUUAAAGACUAUAGACAGCAUGAUAACAACAACAACAACAAGAAGUAGAAUAGUAUUGUAUCAUUCAUUAGCUUAUUUUGCACCAUUAAAUUAAUAGAUCACAACACACACACACACACACAUAUAUAUAUAUAUAUAGGACAUUUCAAGUGAGAGGGGGUUUUAAAAUGAGAGGAUGAGAGGAUUAAAUAAGAACCCUUAGAUUAAAUUUAACGGUUGUGAUUAAUUUACUCAAUAAAAAAGCCACAUGUUCUAUCUGUAGUGUACACACACGUCAUCUUCCUCCAUGUAUCAUCCAGAUCCACAAUUUCACACCUUUCAUCUUCCUUCAAAAUACUUGCAAGGCUGCAACACUAAAAUCCAACAGUAGCACUAACAGUUUCCGACCCUUGGAUACUCAUCGUCGGAACUUGUGAAAGCCACCAUCAUCGUCGCCGUCGCCGAUGUAAGAAUAUCCAAUCGCUUUGUUUUCGGUGGUCAUCGCUUUUCUGCCUCUGAGUCCCCCGUUCGUGUUCCAUCGUCGUCUGAUUUUCGGUUCAAAUGGAAAAAAAAUGAAUUUUUUUGUUUCUGUCAUAGAUUGAGUAUUGCAAAAUUGAAUUUCUUAACCUCCACCAGAACACAAAAAACGAUUCAAUAAAAGUUAAAAGGUAAGAAAUUCUGUCAUAAUUCUUCUUCUCUAUUCUGAACCUUGUUAUCCAUAAUUUUGUUUGUUGAUUACGAUGAUGGGGGAUAAUGAAGUUUAAGAAGAAGCAGCACAUAACUACUCGUGAGAGAGAGAACAAAGUGGAAAAAGAAAAGGUGGAGAGUACGGUACAUAAACCCUUUUUUAAAGAGUAAUUAAAUUUGAAGCGUCGAUUUAGAUCCAACGAUCAAAAUUAAUUCCUCUCAUCCUCUCAUUUUAAAAGUCCUCUUAUUUGAAAUGUCAUAUAUAUAUAUAUAUAUAUAUAUAUAUAUAUAUCACUAAUUGAUCUAUUAAAACUUAUUGAUUGAAUUGUGUAUGACGAUCUCCCUUGUGUAACACAAUGGUAGGAUGCAAAUUAAAUCAUGUAAAAAUAAAGGUUAAGUUGUUCAAUAUACAUACCCAACAGUGACUGAGUAGACCAUCUUUUUCUUGGUGAUGAAAACAGGGUAUGCCAUAUGGCGAAUACAAACAUUUGAAUGCAGUGACAUAAAAUCUUAGCAGUAAAAUCUAGUCGAGCAAGAGUAUGUCGUACUUUGCAUGCCUUUUCCAAGUCAUCAACAUUGUAUGAUGGUAUUCUUUGAUCACCUUUUUCUGCGGUAUAUAUCGAUAGGUUAGUAAUAUAAUGAACCACAUUGAAAUAUCAUCACUAAAAUUAUCAUAUGCUAAAUUGUUUCAAAAUAAAGAGAGAAAUAAAUAUUAAUUAUAAUUAUAAUAAUAUUAUUAACUUUUCCAACGGAAUUUGAACUUCAUCCAUAUUCAGGUUAUGAGCUUAUGGAGGAAUGUAUAUAUUUAUUAUCCAAUAUUACUAUACAUGACGAUGUUUGGAUCUGAGAAUUUAAUAUCGAAUAUUUGUUUCCGUAAAAGUGGUUUAUGUGUUGGUAUCAAAUUUUGAAAUUGUAUCAGAUUCUCCUUUAUUUAGAGUUACUUGGGCUAAUUUGAUAUCAUUGAAUAUUUUGUUGUAUAUAUUGAGAUUACUAAAUAAUUGUCUUACAACUCAAAUUACUUUGAUCCACUGAGGGGUAUAAAAUCUAGCAUCUCAUCUUUGUGUGGAAUGAUGAAAUUUGAACAAAACAUCCAAACAUUUGUUUUCUCAUUAUCCUAUUACGGGCUAACUAUGGUAGGAUGUUCUAUUUGGUUAAAUAUCAACUUGUAUGUUGAUAGAUGAUAACUCAUGUAAUGUUGUCAAAUGUAUAGCUUUGGUAGGUUAUGGUAAAAAAUUACAUGAAUGUCUUCAUUCGAUUUGGUUAGUAUCCACGUGGUCAAUUUAGAAGCAUCGUAACCACAUGGCUUUCGAUUAUAAGGAACAUAUAUUAUGUUCACCCUUUGACAUGGUUUCAAUACUGGUAUUGUCAUGGAUUAAGUCUAAAAUUGAUGGUUUUCUUAUGAUUAUAUUUAUGUAGCAUUGAACAACUCAAAUAAACUGUUUAUGAAUAAUUCUUUUUGUUAGUUUAUUACUAACUUCGUCUCUAAUUAUAAGGCUUUUUUGGAAAAAUAAUAGGAAUUCAGAAAAUUGAAAGUGCUAAUAAAUUUGCUUGUAACUGUUGUUGUUUUUACAAUUUUAUUCCUUAAUGGAGGGUAUAUUUUCAACAUGGUAUUUAAUGCUGAUAGAAGAAAAAUAUAUAAAAUAAAUAGGGGUGUAUUGGUAAAAAAAUUAAGUAAUGUACUUUGAAAUAUCAAAGAGAUCUUAUAAAAAGAGACAAAUUUUGAUCUCAAAAGUAUCUUAUAUAUAGGGACAAAGGUAGUAUCAAUUUUCAUUUUGGAUUAAUGGUGUUGUUGCUUUUGUGCCUUUUCUCUAAUAUUUGAUUACUAUAUCUUUUUAAUCUUACCUUUUCUUUUACUAUUGUAUCUUUUUCAAUCUUUGACCUUUUAGAAAUAACCAUUAAUUUAUGGAAAAAAUAAGAGAACUAUUAAUAUAGUUGACAAAUUACUAAACACUAGUACAUAAUGACCGUGGCUAUGUAUCAUAAGAGUCAAUUCAUUGAAAACUUACCUUGGUGAGCAAUGUCUUCAACGCCAUACAAUUUAAUUCUAGUUUUUGGAUCUGAGACUUUGACAGAAAUACCUUUAACAGCAAAUUUUUGUAAAAAACGUUAGACCUUUAUUUUGAUGAAUUUUGGCAUAAAACUACAAGAAUGCAAGUAAAAUUCCUUUAGACUUCCAAAAUACAUGAAUUUGACAAGAUUUAUCUUUCAAUUAUCCCUCUAUAUUAACUUUUCUUUUGAACAACAAACAAUUCAUGCUAUGUAGUAGUAACAUGGAUUUGAAAGAAGAAAAAUAAUCGUGUUGGAAUAGAAGAUGAAUUACAUGUGGCUUUCCUAAAAGUAAAUCGUAUGAGGCUAUUACAAAGUAAGAAGAGUGAAGCAAGAUAGUUCUAAUAUUUUACACUAUCUAUAUUCUUUAAUCCUAGAUCUGAAUUAUAAAGCACUUGUAUUACUUGAGUCUUGUUCUUUUGGAUAGGAAUUUGGUAUUGAAAUAGUUGUGGUUAUUAGUAUACUAUUAUUUAUUAGUUUGCUACUUUGUCACUUCUUGUGAUUGGACUAGUUAUUAAUACAUGUAGCUAGCUAGGGGAAAUAUAUGAAGGUUUAUGGAAAUUAUAAUGAGGAAAGGUUUCUUUUUUUUCAACAAGUCAAAAUGGAAUAUAAUAUUAAUUGAAAGGCGAUUCACUCCGCACAAGGCGUGCUAGGAGAGAAGCACUCAACAGUUUACAAUGUCACAAUUGGUGCCUCGCUGAGAAGCACCAGAAAUAAACGAAAGAUAAUAAAUUAUAUGGUAACACCCAUACAAAGAAGCGGGUACUGACACCAGUCGUGAUAACAAAAAUCAAAAGAUGGCUGAUUUGUUUUCAACCACAUAAACGAAUUCAACUUCACUUUGUCAGAAAGGGUACACGGAUCAUAAGCCACAUUUUUUAAGCUGCGGUUGUUUCGUUCUUUCCAUAUUAUUCAAAUAGAAGCAAGCGAAAUUAUCCUGAAGAAUGAAUGAAAAGAUUGUGGCAUACGUGCCAACCGAGAAAACUGAUCAAAAGGUUCACAUAUCACGCCUGAAGGGACGAAAUCAAUACCGAGCCAACGCCACAAUAUAGACCACAUGCUGCCAAAUAUGUCACAAGCUACGAAAAGGUGUACCGCCGUUUUCGGAACAGCCACAUCCUCCCACACACAUAGUAUCAUUAUGAUGAAGAACUCUCCGUGGCAAUAGAUUUGUUUUGGUAGGAAUUCUAUUGCGGAGGAAGCGCAAAGAAAAAACAGAUAUCUUUGAAGGGACGACCUUAUGCCACACAUUGAAAAUGUGACCCCCAUACAAAACUUCAUAAGAUGCCGUCAAAAAAUGAUAGGUUCUGCGCAUUGAAUAGCCUUGAGUAGGUUCAAGCAACCACUUCAAACUAUCAUUAACAUGGUCCUGCAAAACCACAUUAUGUAAUAAAACACAGAACUCCCUCACAAACUCCUCCUCCCACAACAAAAGUCCUCUCCGCUACACCCAUCCACUCCCUCCUUCCUCCCAACCUAACACCGUCAUAUCAGCCUCCGAACACUCUCAAUGCACGGCUAAAUAAAAAAGUCGACGGAAUUUAUUCUGUAAAGGAACUUCUCCAACCCAAUUAUUCGUCCAAAAGAAAGUAUUUUUACCAUCCCCGACUACCUGACGAAUGUUGUCCUCAAACCAAUUCCCUACUCCCGUCCCCUCCCCUCCACGAAUGUUACACAACACUCUCCACCACAAGGAGCCGUGUAUCCCCCCUCCUUCAAUCACCCCCUCCUCGCCGUAUCUAGCUUUUAACACUCGAUACCACAACCCUUCCUUCUCAACCAACAUCCUCCAACACCAUUUCCCUAAAAGUGAAAGGUUAAAUUCUUCUAACCGCCGCACUCCCAAACCCCCUUGCUCCUUCGGUAAACAAAUAGACUCCCAUUUUACCCAACCAAUUUUCCUUAAAUCCUGACCCUCCACCCCCCCAAAAAAAAAAAAACAAAGAAAACUUUUAAAAAUAGAUUCGAUAGAAGAAAUUAUACCUGCAGGGUCAAUAAAGAAGGAAAGAAAGUAAACCAGAAGCGAAGAGAUGACAGAUUUCAGUAAUACUAGAUGGCCAGCAAAUGAUAAAAACUUAUUGUUCCAUGACGACAACCGAGCUAUAAUACGAUCAAUCACAGGUUUCCAAAGUUGAGCUUCUUGACAUCCCCACGGAUUGGCAACACCAACUAAACAAAAUGUAUGCAUCAUGUUCUACAGUUCAUCACUGAAUCCACUUCCCUGAACCAAGAAUCAGAGACAUUCACUCCAGUCAACAUACUUCCCUAACGUGCGCUCUAUGCGGGCGGUGUUUCUUUUAUUUGAGAACAUUUCAAACCAUGAGAGUAUUAUUCAUGAGCUGAAGAUUAGAUAAUUGCGCAUCACCCUGCCAGCCAACACUAUACCCGCGAUACAAAUUAGCAUUCACCAAAGUAUUCAUCAAGACCUUAAAACCUUCGGCUUCUAGAAGGAACAAGGAAGGGGAAAGGGUAUCCCCUUGCCUGAGCCCUCGCUCAAUAAGAAACUCCUCUAUCAGCAACCCAUUCAUAAGAACUGAAGUAGUUGCCGUCCGACGCAUUCAAAAAUCUAUUUCCGCCAUAAAUUCAGGAAAUGCAUAUGAAUCAUCAUCGAAUCAAGAUAGUUCAAGUCGACUGAAUUAUAUGCCUUUUCGAAGUCGACUUUGAACAACAACAUUUCCUUAUUCAUGUGCUUAGCCUAGUCCACAACCUCAUUAGCAAUAAGAAUACCAUCUAAAAUUUGCUUUUCGUGAAUAAAUGUUGACUCAGAAUCUGAAAGAACGCUACCAAUGACCGCACAUAACCUAUUAGCAAGAACCUUAGGCAACAUCUUAUACAUGUAUCCCACAUAACAAAUGGAUCAAAAAUCAUUAAGCUUUUGUGGACGGUCCGACUUCGUAAUUAACGCAAUAAAUGUUGAAUUCACCCCUUCAUCAGUUUCCCAUUACGAUGGAAUUAUGACAAAAAUCUCAUAAAGUAAUCUUUUAAUUCUUGCCAAAACUGUUUGAUGAAGCCAAAACGGAUACCAUCGGGUCCCAGACUCUUAUAACUAUCGCAAUCCCAGACUGCCUAUUUCAACUCAUCUAUAGAAAAAGGCCAAACUAGAUUGCAUGCAUCCGCACUCGGCAAUUUGCGGAAAUGCUCACCAUCCACCCCCGACCUUUCAACGCCAAGUGGUCGGAAAUGACAAGAAAAAUGUUUGAAAACAGUUGUUCUAACAUUUUAGACCCCUUCGACUUUGACGUCAUCCACAUAGACCAACUGAAUAGCAUUGUGGUGCCAUCUGUUAGACAUAACAGAAUGGAAGAAUUUUGAGUUAGCAUCACCUUCCUGGAGCCAAGUCAUCCUUGCCUUCUGCUAAUUAAUACUUGUCUGCACCCAUGACAUAGAAUGCAAACUAACAGACAACUCACGAUGCACCUGCACCUCAUCAUCAAGAAGCGCAAAUUCCUCCCCCUUAGUGUCAAGGGAAGAAAUUUGAUUCUUCAUCUCCGUAAUCUUGUUGUCCAACACGCAAAUUCUUCGAUUGUUGUUGAUGCUAAUCUUUCAGACAUUGUUUAAUCAUCUUCAGCUUCUGUUUCAACACAAAACCGCCCCAUCCUUCCACAUUAAAAGUUCGCCAUUUGUCACGAACAAAGUCCACAUAACCAGGAUAAUCCGCCCAACACUUCAUCAUCCGAAAAGGCCGAGGUCCCCAUUAGUGGCAUCAGAAAGUAGUACUACCAGGACGUGAUCAGAGAGACCCCGUUGAAGCACAGUCUGAAUGCAAUUCGGCCAUGUAUCACACCAUGUCACAGACAACCAAAGCCUGUCAAGUUUGCUCAUCGUAACACCAUCACCGCGAUACUAUGUGAACAAACGACCACAAAUCGGUAAAAUCAAUAAGCAAACAGUCAUCAAUAAAUUUGUUAAAACCAUAUGUAUCGUACUUAUAUAAUUUGGUAGGUAAAUAAUGUAUUUGUAUGAUGGUGACCUUUUAUAUAAUUUGUGAAAAUUAAUAAUCAUUUUACACCGCAACAUCCACCAUACAUGUCGCAACAACCGCAAGACCACAAUUUAAAACCAUGAUUCACUUGGUUAGUUGGGCUCUCAUUCACAAUAACAUUUAUGCUCCAUAAGAAUACAAUUUUUAUGACAAACAUAUAAGACGUGGUUUAUCGAGUUAUUAUAGGCUUAUUCGGAUAUUGAUAAAACAAAAAGAGAAACGUUUAAAGGUUUUUUUUUUUUAAUUUAAUUUUGUUUUAAAAUAUAUUUGUUUUUAUACCACAUAUAUGCAUAAAAAAUACCAUAUAUGCGUGUGUCACUUACAGUUGUAAAGAAUUUUCAUCCACCAUGAUAGCUGAUUUUUACUACUCUCGAAAGCUGAUGUCCUAGUAGCAAGAAUUUCAAGAGGAGAGACUCCAUAUUUGUCCUCCAUAGAGCGAAAAAUUGGAUACAAAUACAUUAUUAUAUUUGCCAUACCUGUUGCAUAAGACACGUAGAUUAUUAACAAGGUAUAUACAGUAAAAAAUUUGGUUAAUAUUUUUUUUCAAGUCUAGAUUAAAUUUUACCAUAGAAGAAUUUCUUAAUUAAAAUAAGUUUAUAAUUUUCACCUCUGAUGUUUUUAAUAUAUUGAAAUUUUAUUAUUAAGGUGUAGUAUGGAUCUAAAUGGUUAAAUUUCGAUAGCUAGCCAAUUAGAUAAGGUCAGGUCAGCAAAAUAACUUAAAGUAUUGAUCUAACCAACCAGAUGAGAGUAGCUAACCAACUAAGUGAUGCCAAGGGACGGUCAAUAAGUUGAGUAAUGUUAUUGUUUUCAUAAAUAUAAGAAUACAGUUGGUCAAAAAUAAAUAAAAUAUAAGAAUACAAUUGAAUUUAAUUGUUGGAUCAUUGUAAGGGGAUAGGAUCCCACAAUUAAUCUAAAAAAUGUAUACUUUUAUUAAUAUUAAUAUUUGAUCUUAAUUUAAAAUAUUAUUUCAUAUAUGAUAUAUCCCCUAAAUAUAUAUUUCUUCUUAAAUAUUUUGAUUAAAAAUUCCAUUAUUAUUGUUAUGGACCACUCACACGGCUACAUGUGUACAAUAAUACGCCGCCUUAAGGCUACACACUUAAAGGAGCACGCCAACAUGCCUGCACCAAGCCACACCAGAGCACGCCUCAUUGUCGGGAUCACGCUACAUAUGUCCUUUCCCGCUCCUAAUCAUACGCCGAAUAACCUAGAGACGGUUAUGCCAUAAGCGCGCCUAUAUAAGGGUGAACUUGCUUCACCCUCAAGGUACACAAUACUUUCCACAAUAUUUCUAACACUUUCACUCUCAGUUCCCAUACUGACUUGAUCGUCAAGGUGCUAACGUGCCUGCAGGAACCCUUUGUUCCACCACAAAAGACACAUCAGUGCCGCACAGGAAGCAGUUACCAAUCAACGGAACACUCUCUACAACCGUUCCUAUCAGACAUAUCAUUUGGCGUUAGAAGGAAGGGAUCAUUCGCUAAACCACGAUGGUCCAACGAUCCUCCACCAUAACCAUUUUCACGUAUGCACAUCUCCGUCGUAACCAUUUUUAGUUACACAUUCCUCCACCGCAGCGGUUGACAAUUAUCGCUCCUACAUUCGAAGUAAUGGCCAAAGUUCAUGGAAGAACCACCGCAAGCCAUCCUUCCACCAGUCGGACACCACAUUCGACGACUCAGAUUCUCAAGGAUCGAACAACCUCGAUCCAUGAAAUAGUGAAUUAAGAAAAAAAAAUGGUAUUAUCUUGGAUGCCACCGCAACGGCUCUGAUUCAACAGUUUUUAAUUUCCUACACCUUCUUGAUGAGAGAAACACACUCCUUCAACACUGCUCCUUCAGAUCUCGCCGUCAUCUGAGACGAAGGAACUACUGGUGAACCUGAUGAACCUACUUCAACAAUAGAGUAACCGACUUGAGCGUGUAGAGAACGGUAGAAACGAAACUUUGGGGAAUUUUUUUGAAAGAAAUGCAAGAGGAGUUCCGUCGAUCCAUGGAAACCGCCACGGGAGCCUUAGCGCGUUACAGUUCGAAUUUGAAGCGCGAGGGAAACCUUACCCGCUAUCUCCCGUUAUGGUAACUCGGCGAAGUAUUUGAUCGCUAGGGAAUGCCGACACUCCCUAAGUCACCUUGCAUAAGCGAAAACGAAACGCCAAAAGCAGCACACUGCCAGAGGAGAAAGAGAACUAACCACCAGAGAAGAGGCUUCGAUUUCCGCAGAAAAAGUUUAUUCACUGAAGUCGCAGGAUUACAAUUCUUCCUCCAAAAGAGAGAUCUUGGUUUCAACUUCCUUAGCUUGGGCCUUCCAGGCGACGGUCUCCGAACAUUCCUCACUUAACUUCUGACUCGAACGGUCAUGAUCAGCGUACAGGUUUGUCACUUGCUUGUCAAAAGAAGAAAGAGCCUCUUUUGCAUCUCAUGCCUACAUUUCAGAAUCUACAAAUUUUUGGCUAAGCUCCCGACACACGUUCUCGACUGCCUACCGGACCUCCUUGCCCGCCACUUCUUUGGCUUCCUUUAGAGCCGCUUGAUGGGAAGCGAUGAUGUCUCGAAGCUUUUUGUCUCCCUAUUUGAAGAAACAAGACAUGUCACCCGUCGUACGUUCAAGAGCAUCCCCCUAAAGCAAAUCAUAGCCCGCCAUCAUGGUACACAAAACGACGGUCUUAUAUGCACUAAUCCACCACCAAUUCCCUCCGCUGAUAGACGACAUUAAACUUACAGCAACAAGAGAAAAAUAAACAAGCAAUAUAAACUGAGUAAACAAAAGGCAAAAAGUAAUGAAAAACCCCAAGGGAACACCGGCUCACCAAAAAUCUCACAGUGGUGGGCAGCAUCCUGCACCUGAAGAAUCAAAAGGGUAUCCACAAACUAGGGCACUUUCUACGAAGGACCCUCAGAAUUCUUCAAAUCCGGAACCCACUACAAUAUAAAACCAGCAAUCAAAUCCUCAAGAGAGAACUUCAUACACCUGUCGAAAGGGGUAAGGUCUCCCUUCACGAAGGAGUAAUCGGCGGCCGGCUUGUCAAAAUGUUACUUAAUCCAAAAAUGGGGGAAAAGAGGCUUAUGCGCCAUAAUCUCUGAAAAUAGGACCUCCAGUCUCGGGCCAUCCAAAUCAUUAUCGUCCGGGUAGUCCGAAGGAACGUGCCAGACACGCGUAGUCCUUAAAAAACAUUAUUCUCUAAUAAAGUUCUACCCAACCAUGAGUCACUACCCCAACCGCGCCGCGAACCCCAAAGAGGGUAAAAAAGUUAUGAAAGUUGGGUCGCCGGUGUUUAUACUCACGACAGAACUAGUAAACCUUCACAAAAACCCAAGAUAGAGAGUGAAGUUGGGAAGGCGCCACCUUCAGAUGACGAUGAACCACUAGCUUGAAACUGCUAAAAGGGGAAGAGCAUCUAGUUCCCCGUUCAAUAUACACGUCCUUUUCGACCCUUUCGGACCUUCCAAAGCCCAGGACCCAUGGAGACUCCAUGGAAUCCCGUUCAACUGGUCGACCGACUGAUAGUAAGAGACAACUUCUGUAACGACACCAACCACCCAACUGUAAUCAAGUUUUAGACCAGGACGCCCGCACGACUAACCAUUGGUAGAGGUUCUCUCUUCCUAAAAAGAUAAGGGAAAUCGUGAGCACGAGCCCUAGAGCACUCGUCCAACCACCACACAAUCUUUCAAUAAGAAGGGGGAUGUCUCAGACGGCCAACAAGAGAUGCCUUCAUUUCGCAAUACAACUCAUCCCCUUCAAUAUCAAUAACUACAACGAGGUUUUCUAAAGUAAUGGAAGGAAAAGUAAAAUCAGUGCCUACCCUCAGAGCCUCUCCUUCACCGUCAACCAAGAUGGGAUAAUCACUAAUCAUUGAAUCCACCAAGCAUCCAAAACUAGCUAAAUGAUCACUCAUUUCACAUUAUCCAACCCCAAAGUAAGACUAGAAGGGAAGAUGAAAUAAGAAAAACACUGGAAAAAGGAGGAGUAUGGAAUUGCAUUACCAAGCGCCUAGGGCAUGCAAUAUGCGCCUUAAGCAUUGCUUAAAGCAAAUAUGCACCUUAAGCAUAUGCUAUGCACCCCAAAUAUCUUAAAAUGUGGGGGCGCAUGCGUAAUUUUAUUCAUUUUUCUGGGUUUAGCCCGCGUUUUUAGUCCAAACCCAGUUAAAAAUCUCCCUUAUAAAUACUAGCUUUCCUCAUUCAGAACUGUGGAAAUUCAAGAGGAAGGCUACUUAGGAGCUUCAGGAGAGAAUCUAUCUUCUCCUUGAUUUUCUAGGGUAUGUUUUUAUCUUUAGUAUUUUAUUUUUAGUUACCUUGUAUAACUAAAUCAUUUUAGGUUAGGGUUCUAAGAUGAACCUCUGUAUGUUUUUUAUAGGAUAUUUAUUUAAUUUAAUAUGUCAUUUAUUUUAUUUAUUUAUUCUUUUGUUCGUUAGUAAGUUGUAUUAGGAAGUAAUUUAUUUCUGUGAAAGGUGCAACCCUAGAUUAGGUACUUAGGAUGUGACAGGGCCUAAUAUUGCUAUCACUAACUUGAUGCUUAUAAGUUGAUAUUUAUAUCCCUUUACUGAUAACAAUAUGUUCAGUAAGUAGUUGAUUAUUAACUAUCCAAAGAUACCAUAGGAAUUGUUGACCAUAGACGUAGGAACUCAGUGGCUAAAACCCACUUGGUCAGGUGGUGCCUUACGGAACCUAGGAAUUAAUUGGUUAGUAAUUAGGGAAAAGGGUACUUAGCUGUCCGAAAAAAGUUGCAACAUAAUAGAAUCAUUCUCCUGAAACCCUUAGUAAGGUGGACGUAGAUUAGGGAGUGUGCUAUGAGUGUCCUAUGAUUCAUUGAGCCAUAAAGACAUCAAUGGCUUAAGGGAAACUGUUCUGGGCCACUCACACGGAUACACUUAUAUAAUAAUACGCUGCCUUAAGGCUACGCACUCAAAGUAGCGUGCCAACAUGCCUCCACCGUGCCACACCAGAGCACGCCCCAUUGUCGGGAUCACACUACAUGUGUCCUUCCCGGCUCUUAAUCAUACGCCGCAUAACCCGGAGACGGUUAUUCCAUAAGCGCGCCUAUAUAAGGGUGAACUUUCUUCACCCUCAAGGUACACAACACUUUCCACAAAACUUCAUACACUUUCUAUCUUAGUUUCCAUACUGACUUGAUCAUCGAAAUGUUAGCGUGCCUGCAGGCACCCUUCGUUCUACCACAGAAGACACGUCGCCGCCUCACCAGAAACAGUUACCGAUCACCGGAGCACUCUCUACAACCGUUGCGACUCAACCAUUCCUACCAGCCAGAUCAAUUGUACUUAAAACUACUUUACCACACAUACAUAAAAAUAUGUUUUUGAUUCAGUUCUUCCGAAAAAGAAAGGAAAAAAGUAAAAUAUUAAAAAAGAAAAGUAAGAAGAAAAGAAUAAAUAAAAUAAGAGAUGAGAAAGAACUAACCGAACAUUUCUCUAUGAAUGGCAACGUGAAGAAUGGUAGCACCAACGUUAUUGAUAGCAAUAGUGAUAUCAGAUGGGAAAAAAUGAUGUAGGUAAAGAAAGGUCUUUUUAUGGCGUGCAAGCACAGCACAAAAAAGUGGUGUUUCUCCCUUUGCAUUGUUUACUUGAAUCAAAUGCUUCCUUUCACCAUAUUUUCCAAUGAUACAUUGACACAUACUUUUGAAUCCUCUAUAUGCUGCAAGGUGAAGAGGAGUAUCACCUCUUUCAGUCUUUAUUUCAAAACCACUUUGAUCAUCAUGCUUUACUAUUGCAUCUACAAGACGUUUUACACUGUCUUCGUUGGCAUUGCUUACUGCCACAUGUAAUGCUGUUCCUCUUCCCUUUAUUCUUAUCUUGUGAAAAUAUACAUGUUCUUCGUAUUUAUCUAUCACUUCUUUCCAUUUGUCUUCCAUUACAAACUCGCGGAACACGGCAGCUACAUAUUUGUUGUCACAGGUUAAUGGUGUUUUACCCCUGUAAUACAGGUCAUUUUUUUAUUUUUCUCCCUGUAAUUUUUUUUUUUUGAUUUACCCUCUGUAAAAUAUAUAUUUUUUGGAAUACCCCCUAAUAGGUCAUAAAAAAACUAAAAAUUCUGCAAAAAAUAAAAAAAAUAAAGUCGUUUUUUUAUGACCUAUUAGGGGGUAUUCCAAAAAAAAAAAAAAUUUACAGAGGGUAAAUCAAAAAAAAUAUUUUACAGGGAGGAAAAUAAAAAAUGACCUAUAUUACAGGGGGUAAAACACCAUUAACCCCAAAAUAAAAUAGUAAGACAUACAAUAUUUAAUGUCAUAUAAAAAAAUUGGAAGUGAGAAUGAAUAAUGGAGUAAACCAUCAAAUUGGUCCCUAUGUUUGUAAGAUAUUCUCAAAUUAGCACUUAACUUUAUUAAUAUUUCAAAAUAGUUCAUCUCUUUGUCAAAAGUUUCUCAAUUAAGUCUCUCGUCAUGUAACAAAAACAUCAAGACAAUGAUCUAGUUGAGAAACUUUUGACUAUAUUUCAAAAUAGUCUCUGUCCUUGUCAAAAGCUUUUCGAUUAAGUAUCUCGUUAGGUGACAAAAACAUAGAGACAUGGAUCUAAUUGAAAAACUUUUGACAAAAACAAUGACUAUUUUGAAAUAUUGAUAGAGUCAGAGACUAAUUUGAAAUGACUUACAAAGACAGAGACCAAAUUUAAAGUUUGGUCAUGAAUAAUUAGACAUAACAAAUGACACUUUAUUAUUAUAUUUUAUUUUUUGAAGGAAAAAAUGUCAGAAAUAUUGAACUUUCAACUUAAAGAGCCUGAUAAAUAUAAAGAGAGUUUGGACGUACCAUCUUGAAAAUCAUAAGGUACAUCUUCGUCUUCAUCUUGAGGCUGAAUCAUAGAGUUAUGAUUCAUUUCGUAAGUUUGCACUUAGAAUGAAAAUAACAAGAAUAAGUAUCAAUGAGAGAUUGGUAGUGGUGCUGUAAGAAACUGAGCACAUCAAGUGCAAACCUAAUUCCGUUAUAUAAAGAAGGCUUAAAUAUUGCACUCGUCCCUGUAAAUAUGGUCCGUUUAAGUUUUGGUCUUUGUAAAAUAAAAAUUCAGAAAUCAGUCCCCGCAAAAAAAUAUGUCUUUUAAAAAUACCCCUGGGGCCCAUUUAAGUAAUGACAAGUCACCAAAAUGCCUACGUAGCGCACGCUGAUUGAACUCAUUUUGUAAUUUUUGGUCCCUGCAAAAUAUUUUGUUUUUUAAAAAGGUCCCUGCAAAAUUGUGUAUUGCUUUAUUUUUAUUCCUUUCUUCUCUUUCGUUGCAGCUUUAAACUGAGAGAAACAAAAGCAAAUGAUACAUUCUUUCUCACCAUUUUUCUUUUGCAUAUUAUAAGGUUAUCCCGUCCUGUUUCUCAUGCCUUGAUGUACCUUAGCCUUUUUCUUUUCUUUUUCUUUUUCUAAUAGUACAAUCUUUAUUUAUUUUUUUGAAACAGCAUAAUAUUAUUAAGCAAGUCGAGCGCAAGACGCAAUAUUUAUUUGAUCUAUUGGAAGCAAUAUUAAGAUUUAUGGUUGGAAAAUUUUCACAUAUUGUCUAUGUUUGGUUUCACUUUCAGAUCAGCAAAGAGUGAUUUGAAAGAUGUCUAAUUUAGUUUUGAUAUGUUUGGUUUGCCAUGUGCUUGAAAUUUUCUAGAAUCAGCAGCAUUUAUGAGUGUAUUAGGAUCAUCGGUAGUUAGACUAGGAUCACGAUUUGGAGGUAAGGAAAUAUUAUUGCUUUCUUCUUGAAUCUUUGUUAAUUGAUGGUAAAUGGUCCAUAGAUAGUAGAACCUGAGAUUUAACAACUGAAAAUUGUCAUUUAAACAUGUCAGGAAUUGAAUUACAUGAUCUUCAAGACUAAACACAUGAGUUGCACCCACAUCAUCACAUUUACACUGCUGAAAACAUUUACAAGUUGGCAAUGACUUUUGAGAACUAAACUUUUUUUUAAGUCCUCGUAUCUUAGUAAAAGUAAUCAAGAACAGAUUUGGAGCCUUGCUUGAGAUGAUUUAUCUCAGAACAUAGAUUAGCAACACGGAUGCGAUCAAUUUUGAGAAUCUUUCUUUGAGAUCUUGUUGAACAUCAAUAGUGUUUUCAAGGAACGCAAUUUUUUUCACAGUUGGAGAAGAAACAGAAUUGAUAAGCCAAGAAUGAACUAAAUUCAAGUUAUGACGACUAGGAACUGAAAAUGUACUAAUAUGAGAUAGUCGAUACGAUAACAUUUUGAAAAUCGAUAUCACAACAUUAACGUAGCAUUUCUAUUAAAUAUUUUGUUAUUUUAUAUGUAAAACACUGUGAUAUAUUUUCACCGCGCACCGUUGCGGAUUUUAUGUGUUUAUAUCUCUUGAGACAAAUUCUAUGUAGUGAUAUGAGAAAAUCAAUAUGAUAAAAUUUUGAAUUCAUGACUAUUUUCAAAAUAUUAACCUUUAGUGUUUUUAAUAAAUAUUUGUUCAUUUUAUAUGCAAAACACUAUUAAAUAUUUGCACUACACUCGUUGCAGAUUUUGUGUUUAUAUUUGCAUAAGCAAAAUUUUAUGUAUUACUAUGAGAAAAUUUAUUUGAUAAAAUUUUAAAAAUUCAUGACUAUUUUCAAAAUAUCAACAUCAAUGUAGUGUUUCUAUUAAAUAUCUUUUUUGGUUUAUAUGUAAAAUACCAUUAAAUAUUUGUGCCGCACUCAUUCCAGAUUUUACGUGCUUACGUCCAUGGAAGAAAAAAUUUAUAUACCAAAGUUAGAAAAUGGACAUGAUAAAAUUUAAAAAACUAAUUAUUAAAUUCAAAAUAUCGACAUCAAUGUAGUGUUUUUAUUAAAUAUUUUUAUUUUAUAUGUCAAUUAGCUAAAUUAAGAUAUUAAAAGAGAUAAGAAUGAACUAUUUUUCUAAAUAUAAGACAUAGGAGAGGAGAGAAAAACUUAUUUUUUUCUAUAUUUAUGGCACAAGAUAGGAGAAGAAAAAAAAAUUCCUAUAUUCAAGCUACAAAUUUUGCUUAUAGUAGUAGAUAAUCCAUGAAAAUAGUGCAAACUGGUUAAGCAGUUAUAAAAAUGGUUUAAGAUACAUUAAUAGUAAAAGAAGUAAUAAAAAAGUAAUGAGUUUUUUAUUUUUUUUAAGGGAAGUAAUGAGUUAUUUGGAAGUUACAUUAGAAAGGAAUAGAUAGGAUAUAGGAUAGGAUGGGAUAGGAUGGGAAGUUAUAAGAGCGCAUGAUAAAUAUUUUGAAAAUAUCACAUAGGCAUGAUCAUGUUUUAUGAGAACAAUUCUUACUUUACAAUAUAGUUUAGAUAGAUAGAUUAUUAGCAACAUCGGUGAAGGCAACUUGAAACUACCUUGAUACCAUCAGGCCAGAGUCUGAUAUCCCAGCCAUUAGAAACAUCUUCUGAAGGGGCUGCGGCCUUAUGCACCCUGCAUAAAUUUAGAAAUGGUUUCUGUGAGUUGUAUUCUAAAUUCAUUAGAUAUACUUAAUGGUUUCCAGCAUCCUGCAUAAAAUUAUAGUAUGUUUUGUAAAAAUGGUUUUUGUGAGUUAUACUCCAAAACUAUUUCUGAAUUUAUGCAGGGUGCAUAAGGAUUUUCUUAUGCAUCAUAGCCGCACCCCUUCUGAAGUAUCUAUAGCUAACGUUUGACUAAUAACGGUAUUAACAAACCAUUCCAGUUUAUGUUCUCUAAUUCAUUCAACAAGUCAACAACUUUGGCUUCAUUUAUAUCCAAUGGGAUAUUAAUAACCAAAUUUGCAAUGCAUAGACCAGGUUCAAUCCAGAAACUAUGCCAAUCACUAAUACUAUGGCCAUUUCUACAACCCAAAGAGAGCUAGUACGUAGAACGAUAUGCGGCCACAAACUAACCAGAGCCUUCCAAAGACUCAAAUUUGUUGGCUUAGAUAUAUAUAACACUCUCAACACCGAAGCUAAGAUAAUUGCUCUUAAGGCGCCUUAAAUUCACUUCCGAUCAGGUCGUAAAUUUUGUUCAUGUAUGUAAACACAAGUUUAAUUACAACAGAUGAGCUGCUCAGUGAAACAUCAUAGGUGGAGUCUCAAGAGCACUCUUAAGAAAUAAAUGAAUAAUACAUUGUUUUCACUAUCUAGAAUUUGUCCCAUCCCAUCUAAAUGUCCCCCUUUUAUAGCCCUCAAAGUGUUAGCUUAAUGGGCCUUUCUCUAAUCAUUCUAGGCCCAUUAAGUUAUGAUCCAGAGCCUCCUUUCGGUUGUCUGCUUUGAGUACAGCCGCGCGUGGAUUAGGAAGUAACUCAUCCGUACUAGGCGCGUUAAGACGUGAUGAUCAUCCGUACAGGACACGUGGUAUUAAGUUAAGAUGAGAUGAGCUGAUUGGCUUGAUUUGAACUAUCCAUCCAGUGUUGACUGAAGUCGUGCUGAGUUAGCUGGCUUGACUGAAGAUGUGCUGAGCUGGCCGACUUGACUUGAACAAUCAAUCUAGUGUUGCUGAAGACGUGCUGAGCUGGAUGGCUUGACUUGAACAAUCAAAUGGAAAUGGUCUACCCAUGUCGGUCCAACUUUCGAUCGACUAUUUUUGUGUGUAAAAAAUUAUCGGAAUGUAACUCUCAACCGACUAAUUUUCAGCAAGGAGAACAAUUUUGAAGUGCGUUAGGAAAAAUUUCGAAGACCAAAUGUCAGCUCCUAUACUUUGCAGCUCCGUAUCGAUUUCAUUAAACAAGCCUUGAUCAUUUUAUUUGAAGAGGCAAACAAGUAUAAUACUAACAUCAUGAACCCUCUUUUUACUAUUAGUAAUAUCCAAAAUGAAGGAUCUCAAAACGCACUAAAUUUCGUCUAAACAAGCUUUAGAAAUGUUUUAAGCUGGGCCAAGGCCUAAUCCUUGACUGGAUAUGGGUAUCUUUCAUAGCUCAUACGCAGGUGGACCUUAGCAUGGACUCACCCUAAAUAUCACUACAAAAGAUUUGGACUAUCCAGGCCUUAUACAAUGUUGCCUUUCCAUAAUCUCCUUCAGGUAUCCCUCAAGGACGGUUGUCAAGUUAACAACUCGAGGACAAAAAUCCUUAACAUACCCAAUAAAGGGGACAAAACUCCUUAACCUACCCUAUAAAGACUAACUCGUGGCAUUGGUUCGGGUACACUCAAUUUUCACCCUAGAUACAUACCUUUAUCACCCACGACGCUUAUUGACUUGACAGUCAGAGUGGGUUGGAGGUGGAGUAGAUGACUUUUUGUUUAAGAACAAGAUUUAGUGCUUGAUUGUUGUGCUUUGGUGGAUAAUUUUCAGUUGCAGGUUAAUGUAUCUGAUAUGUGGUUUUGGAGGUCAAUUUCACAACAAGAAUUAUGUUGUCAAUGAUGCUUACAAGUUAUUAUCUUAAGGCUUGGAGAACUAGAUCUCAUUGUCAAUUGUCAAAGUUAAGACGAAAAUCGUUCCUUUGAAGAUGUCCUUAUUUACAUAAAGAUUCUUACGUAACAUGAUAUCGAUCGAGAGUAAUUUAUUUAAACAUGAUAUUUUAAAUUGAAAUUCAUGUUUAUGCAUUGAUGAUUGUAGUAGUGUUGAGGAAAAUUUAAACUACAUUUUAUUUGAUUGUGAAUUGUCUCUAAGAAUAUGGUGUCAUUUUGAAUUGGUUGGAUAUUUUUUGUGCUAUCUCAAAUAACAAAUUUUUUAAAUUCUAUCAAUUUUGUGGUUUAUAGGUUCCGAUGUGAAGCCAAAAGAAUGUUUUCAUGCCAUGCGGUUGGCUGCCAUUGCGUUGAUUUGAAAUGCUUGUAAUAAUCGACUUUUUGGUUAUAACGAAAUCAAUGUUGAACUUAUUCUAAUUAAUUGAUCAAAAUUCAAGAGUAUUGGUGGCUCAAAGUGAAAGUAAAGGAUUCACUACCAUAAUUUUGGCUUUUAAUAGCACAAUUUUAAUAGCUUUUAUAGAUAAAUGCUAUUAAAAAUGCAAAUUAUAGACCUGUUAUAGCACUCUUCAGAAAGCGUUAAAAAAAACUUGUAAAAAACUAGGUUAGAUAGCGCUUUCACCUUCCAAAACUCACUCUCUCUCCACCGUCCAAAACUCAGUCUCUCUCCUUCCUUCUCGAAAAUCUUCCACCGUCCUUCGGUCAAAAUCAGUUUCCUUCUCCCAAAACUGAAAACGACUUCCUUCUCCCAAAACUGAAAACCACUUCCCUCGGAAUCCCCCACUCACUCACUCUCUCUAGGUCGGAAAUCCCUCACUCACUCAAGAUAGCGCUUCUUUAAGUAAAACGCUAAGAAACCCCUAUUUGAGUAGAAAGGCUAUGAUAGCGCUUCUCAGAAAGUGCUAAGAAACAGUUGUUAAAAAAGUUACUUUAAUAGCACUAGAAUAAGGCUGUAUUAGCACUUUUCUGAAAGCGCUAUUGACGCAUUGCUAUUUAAUAGCGUUUGGAAAGCACUAUUAUAGGCUCCUGACCUAUUAUAGCGGGGGCUUUCUCAGCGCUAUUAAGAGCUAAAAUGAGUGCUAUUAAAGGGUUAUUUUGUAGUAGUGAUUUGAACAUAACUUCAAUUGUUAAUGGACAAGUUCACUUCAUUGUCUUUGUGGGUUCGUAUAGUUUGAACCAAUGAUCUAAUAAGACAAAUUUUAUGAUAGUCCACACAUAUUUUCUGCCGCUCCUCCAAUCACCCACGUCACUCUACAAAAACAAAAUUCAUAAUUUAAAUAUGAGAUAUCGGAUGAACAAAUAAAAAAUUCAUAUCAUUCUUAUCACACCUUAUAAUGAUACAAAUAGAGUCAAAUCACACUACAUUCACACCACACGGCCAGUACUCCAAACAUAAUAAACACACAAGACACAUUAUUCAAGUACAAACCAAACUCAUAAGUUUCAAUCCACACAGCAAUACAAUUAAAUAAACACUUCUACAACUUAACACCCUUAAUACUUGGUGGUGGCACCUUCUUCCAAAGAACUUUAACAAGAUCAACAUAUAACCGAAACUGAACAAGUGCAUAGAGAGUGACAGGCAAGCAAAUGAGAACAUAUAAAUAGAAUAAGAUACCACCCAUGGUAUAUUUAUCCGAGAGCGUAAGGAAAUGGCCGGUACAGAAAGAAACAAACACGGCGACAAUGGAUACGAAGACAGAAGUUAGGCCAAUAAGAAGCUUAAGUGGCAAGUUUCUAUCAAAAUCUUCGACUUGUUUUCGAUCAAUGAGUAUAGAAAGGAACAAGAUGAGUGCAGUGACAGAAAAGUAAACUCCAAUUAAUGAAGAUAUUGCGAAUCCUUCUAAUGCAGUAUGUUCUUCUGAUGAUGAUUUCCCUGUUUCCUUAUUGCCUCCGGGGACACUGCUUAAUGUUGCGAAGGAGAUGCCGGCAACGAUUGCUGCUACAGCUGAGCAUGAUUGUGUUGUUUCUAUUAACCACUGAGUGCUAUUUUGUAGAAGUUCUUUGCGUUUCUCCUUAAAUAGUUCACUUGGCGUUUUGUUAUUUUUGUUGCUUCUAUGAUUGAAAUGAUCUGGUGCUAGUCCUUUAAUGUACUAUGUACAAUUACCAUUCACAUAGAUAAAACAUAAAAAUGUUAACGCUAGCUAGUUUAAAGAGAUACAUGAAUAGAUAUUAUUUAUUAGAUGGAUAAGUAAAGGUUAAAUGCUGGAUCUGAGACUACUCUAAUUUACCAAAAAUAUAUUGAUAUAAUUGCUGCUCUAUCUAAAAACUCAAUAUAUACUGAGUUUUUCAUUAAUAUUUAACCUUUUUUUUACAUAAUCAAUAUAUAAAUUAAUUAAAUAUUCUUAGUGUAAUCUUAGUCUAUAUUUUUUAAAUGUAUGAUAAGUACAAUUCAUAUUUAUUACAACACGUCUUCUAAGUUUUUCUAUUAACCACUGGGUGCUACUUAAAUAUGUUUUUAACCCCUCUAGAUAUACAAACUUUUAGUUUUAGUCGUUUUAAAAAAAUUCAUUGACAUUUGAUCUAGUAUGGAUGUGUGUAUGUAGGAACGUACGUACCUUAUACCACUUGAUGUCCCACAUCAUUUGCAUGGCCGCACCAGAUACUUUCCAAGAGUUUUCGUUGUUGAUGCUUCGAUAUGCAGCCAAGUGUAAAAUGGUGUUUUCAUCGUUAUCCACUGCUAGACUUAAGCUCUCAAAGGUUUCCAUAGAAAGCCUCUUCCACAACCCCUCAACAACUAGCGGGUGUUUAUACUUCACUGCUAUAAGUAAUGCAUUUUCAUUGUUAGAGUUAGUAUCAU